This 78451-nucleotide long non-coding RNA is filed under the name Prunus persica (peach). RNAcentral describes it as "long non-coding RNA (PPER_LNC001298)". The record is from RNAcentral. Lineage: Eukaryota; Viridiplantae; Streptophyta; Magnoliopsida; Rosales; Rosaceae.
CUAGCCAAUCCUGUAUAAUCUUGGAUAGAUUUCUGUGUUCAACAUGUUUUGUAGCUUUCUUUUAUUGUGCACCAUGCAUUCUAAAAGUUACCUUUCAUGGCCUUCGUUUUCCCACAUCAGUCCCAUCUCUCCCUGCCCUCUAUUUCACUCCUAGUUGUCACUUUGAAUCAAAUAAAAUGAAGUAGCUAUACUUAUUGUCACAUACAUACAUGUUCGGUCAAGAAUUAACAUGAUUAAUAGUUCAUAUUCAAUCAAGAAUUAACAUGAUUAAUAGUUCAGAUUCACAAUCAAAUGACAUGAAUCAACAUGAUAAUAGUUCAUAUUCACAAUCAAACGACGUGAAUCAACAUGAUCAAUAGCUAGAUUCACAAUGUAACAACGUAAAAGCAUCUUAUUUUGUCAAACAGUAAGGGGUUGAUUGAUCAAAAUUCAAACUUAUAGCAAAAUAUAGGGCUUUUUUGAGAUACCCAUAUAUCGAGGGUUUAGAGUCUUGAGGCUGAGGGAAGAAAGGCCCAAUUGAUGGCCCCACCAAACCCAACUUUGCUAGAGUUGGUAAGACAGUAUGGGACAGUACCCUAAAAUGUUCCCCAGUCUCACCCCAUAGGCCAUAGUGUCCUCAAAAGUCUUAUUGCUGGCAAGCAAUAUUCUAAUCCAAAUGGGUGCUCUCUCUCAAUCAAUCUGGGCUUGCCAGUUACCCAAAAGUUUUCUUUAGGAGAAGAAAAGGGAUUUAGAUAAGAUAAGAACAGUGGAUAAUAAGACGCAUAUUGUCUCUGUGAGAUGUGCAUGGAAUGGAACCCAACAACUUGAAUCUAGAGGAAGGAUUUUAUAAAUGUAGAUGAACCAAAGUAUUCUUUGACCCCCUUUCAAAAAAUAAAAUUUUGAGUAUUCUCAGACAUUGGACAUACCCCUAGUUAUUAGAUUAAACGUGGCCAAACUGGGUUCACAGAUAGUGCUAUCUAUCUCCUAAAAAGAAUCUGCCUGCAUAAUAUCCACAUUCACAUCCGAGUUUCAAUCCAACCCUCUCUGUCUCUUGGAAAGACUUUGCUCUCUCUCUCUCUCUCUCUCUCUCUCUCUCUCUCUCUCUAUGUGACUUAGAAAAAGACGUCACUCGUGUCUCCUAUCUUGUUUUGGGCAGCAUGAUUUUGAGAAUCACUUGGUGGUGUCCUCUUGUGUUUUGUUCCCUCUCAAAUAUCUGUAAAGGAUAUCUUCUACUUGCGCAUGAGGCACGAGCAGAUAAACUCAAACUUCUCUUCUUCUUUUUUCUUCUUUCUGGUCCCUGUUUUGAUCAUCUGCAUAUAUACAAGUCAAGAUUGUUGAAUUCUGAUUCAUUUCCUCCCACCUUCACUAAUAUCUGCUGCUUGUAUUAUGUAUAGAAAAAAAAAAAGAAAAAAAAAAACUUGGGCUUCUUCUUUUUGGACUGAAAAGAGACCAACUGACUGGGUUUCAGUUUGUCCCAAACGAGCUCAAGAGAAAAGACUCGAGAAUAUUUUCAAAUUUCAAGUUUAUUUGGCCCAACUCAUUGUAAUCAAAUACAAAAUUUCUAGUUUAGGGUUUUACCCUUGAGGCUUGAGAAGUGGACACGUGUUAAAAAUGUUACCGCGGUUACUUGAAUCUGGGAAGAAAAAGCGACAUGUCAUUCCAUCCCAUCCCAUCCCACAUUUGCAUGGCCCCUGCCCAGUAGAGCUUGCCCUAUAUAUUGACCAGUCAGAGUCAGACACGUUUUAAGUGCUCCUCUUUAAUCUCGACAAUGACAAUGACGACCUCAUAUUUGCUUUCGUUUUCUUUUCAUCAAAGUCCUAGACUCGUAGCUUAGCUAGGUAUGUUUGGUUGGAUCAUAAGUAACAUGAUGCUUGGCAUAUGCUAAAGCAAAGAAAGGUAUGGUCUAUAUAAAUUAAUAUACAUGUGUGUGUGUGUGUGUUCAAAUUCGAAUAUAAUUUUGGAGGAGCUUUGGAGGUCGGUCAAUGAACCAUGUGGCUAGGGAUUAGGGAUGCUAAUAUAUAGCUAGACCUCCCCACAAAAUAGUUUGUUGGGCUGUCGAUCGUCUGUAUUUAUGCUGAUAGCCUUUGGUUUUGAUGUCUCAUCAAGGCUUGCACUUGCCCUAAAGUUCUUUUUUUUUAAAAUUAUAUAUUCUUCUUUUUUGUCUGUUUCAGGUAUAAAAAAAAGAACUGAAGUAGGUUUUUAACUCUCUAUCAAUUGGAGUUACAUUCCCAUAAUGACCAUCUUCUUUUCUGAAAGAGAAACACUUGUGUAGAAUAAGAAUAUAACAAAGUAGUGUUAUCUUAGGUUAAUUACGGUAUGCCACAUGCGAUAAUUUUUUCACUUCGCAUAAUAUGAUUGACCGAGGAUAGCAAAACAAUAUUAUUCCUCUUUCACACAAGUUUCUCUGUUUCUUUUAUUCUCAGCCAUAUUGCGUUGUUAAUUAAGCUGUGAAUGUAUAGGUGAAAUGUACGAUUCAUAUUGAUAGACUCGCUAACUAUAAGACUAGACAUGUUGUAGUAUGCCGUCCAUUAAAGGGAAGAAAAAAAUAUCUUGGACUAGGCUUUGGUAUUCUACAGGAGUCCCCAGGCCAUUCUCCCAUCGACACGUAGUAGAAACCCUAAAGUUAGGAAUGACCAAGAUGGAGUUGACAUUGCUGUCAUUUAAUGUAAUAGACAGCUAAAAAUGAAUGAAAACCUGCUUCAUCUUCUAAAAAGAAAACCCAAAAAGAAAGCAACUCAGUCUGCUUAUGAUUCCUUUUCUAUGUUCUCUUAAGCAAAGCUAAGGAACACCCAACCAACAAAGAGGUAACAAAUUAAAGUUCCUAAAAAAGCUUGCUCUCUCUCUCUCUCUCUCUCUCUCUCUCUCUCUCUCUCUCUCUCUCUCUCUAAAAAGCCGAACUUAGCUUACCCUAAAGAGCGCGCAAGAAUAAAAGAAAACAAAACCUAGUACCAUAUUUAUAUUAUAAUAUACAUAAUUUAGAAAUUCAGAAAUUAAUAAUGGGAAGAGGGAAGGUAGAGCUGAAGAGGAUCGAGAACAAAAUAAACCAACAGGUGACAUUCGCAAAAAGACGAAAUGGGUUGCUAAAGAAGGCGUACGAGCUCUCAGUUCUGUGUGAUGCUGAGGUUGCUCUUAUCGUCUUCUCCACCCGCGGCAAGCUCUAUGAGUUCUGCAGCGGCUCUAGGUACGUCGAUAUUAUAUAUAUAUAUAUGAGAGUUUCUUUGUGUUUUUGUUAUGAAUUUUUUCAUAUUUAUAAUAACAAAAAAUGCAGCGUAAUUUUUAGGGAACUUGGGUGCGUUGCAAGGUAAAGGGUGCCUUAAUAUUACAGAAAUUGUUUGCGUAUGGAAUUCGAGAUGGGUUUUUUUUCUCUUCAUUUUAAGGCUUCUUGCUUGUAUGAAUUGAACCCGUGAGACCAUUUCCAGAAUUGAUUAUUAUAUCACUAAAUGUGUACUUGAGAAGAUCUAAUCAAAUAUUUUUAAUGGUUGAUAUGAUCAAUUCUGAGUUUCUUUUGUAAAUUAUUCAAUGGAUUGCACAUAUUCGUACUAAUCAAGAUUCUUUCUAAGGGGUGCAUAAUCAAGAUUCUCCCUAAUUAAGUUACUAAGAAGGAUAUCUUUCAUAAUGAAUUAACUGUAUAUGUGAGGAUCGAGGGUUGUCAGAAUAUAUAUAUAAGUAUGUAUGUAUAUGUAUGUAUAGGUCCUUUUCUUUUUGGUUCAAGAAACGUAGCUAGCCCUUUGAUUACCUGUAAUGACCUUACUCUGAAGUUUAACUGGUACAAGUAUUUCUCUAAUUAAGUUGACAAACGUCUAGUAACCUAGGUUAAUAGAUUCGUAUAUGAAUCGAUGUUCGUAUUCGCAGUAUGAUAAACGCACCCCGAAUGGAUAAAGAAACAUAUUGGUGUAACCUCAGUGUGUACACCUUACAAAACCAAGUAAUAAGGAAUAGAGAUUUGAAGUUUCAAACUCAAUCAAGCUUUAAAUUAUGUUAGGAAAAGCACCAACAAACUAUAUCACAAUCUUAUAAGCUUAUAAACUCUCCUCCCAGUCGCUUAUUUUCAUGAGAAUUUCAAUGGUGUUCCUUCCCUUGAUGUGUAGCAUGCCUAAUAUUAAAAUGCAAUUAUAGCUCUUGUAAAAUUUUAUUUUUAUGGUUUCAACUCCCAUUAUUUUCCUCUCGUACAAUUCUCAAGAUAAGAUAUCAAGGCUUGAAUGGUACUAACUUUAUUGUGACAUGAUUUGGGCUUUUUUUACUUUCCUAGCACGUGAAUGUACAGAGUGCAUGUGCCCUCUUUGCUCUUUUGAAUUUGCAUUCUGAUAAUUUCCUACAAUCCUUGCCUGCUUUCAUUUUCAUUUCAGCAUGGAGAAGACACUUGAGAGGUAUCAAAGAUGCAGUUAUAGUGCACUGGAAGCGAGUCAACCUGCUCAGGAUUCACAGGUUGUCGAUAGUUUGUCUAUUGUAUUAAUUAGCUUUAACUUUAAGAAGCAUAUAAAGCAACCUAUAUGCCUAUAAAUUUCUUAAUUAUCCAAUAGUACUCUCAAUCUGUUUAGGAACAACUUUAGGGCUCGUUUGAUAACUAUUUCAAUUUUAGUUUUUAGUUUCUAAUUUAUAUGUAGACUAUAGAGGAAAAUGAGAAUGAGAAUUGGAGUGAUGAUGAUUGAGAGAGAGGAUAAGAGGAUGAGAGGAUCGGAGGGAACAGUAACAAAAGUAAAAACUAUUUCAAAUAGAUUUUAGUUUUAGUUUUUAUUUUCACAUUUUUUACUCCUUCCUCUCAAUUCCAUCUUCACUCUGAUUCUCACUUCCAUUCUCCCUCUUUUUCUUCUAUUCUCUAGCACAAAAAAAUAAAAAAUAAAAACUAAAAUUGAAAUAAUUAUUAAACGGACCUUAAUUUCUUGGUUUGGCUGAUCCAUGUGCCGGGUAAUGGAGUUAAAUUUCUCCACAAAACUGCCUCACUGAUUUUUGACAUAAGUAGUUGAACUUCUCUGGCAUGUUCACAAGCAGAGCAGAUACCAAGAUUAUUUGAACCUAAAAGCAAAAGUAGAGGUCCUACAGCGCACGCAGAGGUAUAUAUGAUCAACAAUUUGAUAGAAUUAGAAACUUGUUUGCAAAGCACCCUUCUUGUUAUGUAGGUCAUAUAAUUAUAUUGAGUGUUCAUUUUCUUGGAAUUCUUUUUAGAAAUUUUCUUGGGGAAGAUUUGGGUCAUUUAGGCACCAAGGAGCUCCAGCAGCUUGAGAAUCAACUCGACAUGUCCUUGAGGCAAAUCAGGUCAACAAAGGUACGUAUAUUUUCAAAACCUGCUCCAAAUUAAUUAGCACAUGUAUCAGUUUUCAAUGGAGUCUAGCUCAGUACAAAAAGGGUUUGAUUUGCAGACUAGUAAUCUCAAGUUCAAACCACCAUAGCACAUUGGUAGUAUUUGUGUGAGAAACUCCCUCCCCAUUAUAGUUUAAACUAUUACUUUUAUAUAUAUAUAUAUAUAUUAUUUAUUUUAAAUGGUAACAAUUUGCUAUAUAUUUAUUUGUUUGCAGACCCAAGUUAUGCAUGGGCAGAUUUCUGAUCUACUGAGGAAGGUUAAUAUAUAUAUGCACAGACUAUCUAAUUUUUGUUACCAAGUAUUUUCUGUUCUUUGCGCUUUCUUUUUGGUGAAUUAUGUUACCAAGUCUUUCAAGAAUUAAUUGUGCAGGAACAGAUGCUGCUGGAAGCAAACCAUGAACUGAGAAGGAAGGUAAAUAUACAUUCAAGCUCAACCCAUGCUCAGCUACUUGACCAAUAUUCAUUUCUAUUUUCCAUUAAUCAAAACAAAUUCAUGUCUUCUCUCCUUAUACUAAAGCUUUUAGUCACGUGAAAACGCGAUCAAUAAUCUACAAAAGUAACCCGAAAAAAGUGACUAUUGCCAACAUUUUUUUGUAGUGGUUUUCAAAUAGCUAUACAUUUUGGGUCUAAAUUUUCAUGUAAAUUGGGCAGCUGGAGGAAUGUGACGCAACCAUUGAAAGAUAUUCAAGGACAACUAAGGAGCAAAAUCAAAAUGUUCCAAAUAGCAGCCACCACCAGGCUGCUCAAUUUGAGGGAGUCCUUGAUCAUUCACAAUGCAACAAUACAUUGCAGAUCGGGUAACCAUAUAUCUUAUAGCUAAAGGGUCGUUUAAUCAAAUUGCAUUAAUUCCUUGCAUCUGUUUUUUUUUAUAAAAAUUAAAUAAAUAAAUUUUGUUAUCUUUCUAUGUGGGAUACGUUUACAGCUACAAUCCUCCUGAAGUAACAGAUCAUCACGGGCUACAAUCCUCAACGCAAAGUCAUAGUGGAUUAUUCGUCCCUGGGACGUGGGUGCUCUGAAUCUUGGAGCGAUAUUGUCUCACAUGCAGAGAAUAAGAGAACAUUAAUAAACUUUGUGUUAAAUAUAUAUAAUGUUAUAUGUACUACGUAAAUCAGUGGCGAAGCCAUAAUUUCAUGUGUGUGGGGGACCUUUUACAAAUUAUAAAUAAUUAAAAAUUCGAACUCACAAGAUAUACGAAUUCAAAAUAGUAUAUAUACAUAUGUCAAGAAUUAUAUUACUUAUUGAUUGUAAUCAUAAUUGUCUUCGACAAAGAGAUAGACAAAUACAUUCUAAGCAAGAAAAAUUGCAAGAGAUAGACAAAGAGUAGCGAUUUAGCAAAUAUCUUUAAAGCUUUUUCCCCCAUUAAACCCAAUAGAAAGGAAAAAAAAAAUCAAAUUUUCACAAACUAAAAAAACUUUAGGUCCCUUCAUGUAUUCAUAUCAUACAAGAAAAAAUGUUUUAUGUAAACAUAUUGACUAAAUAUGAAAAAUGAUUUUUCGGAAUAAUCAUUUUCUCAAGAUAAUUUUUGGCGGCUUUUAUUCCUUACACAUCAAAUAAGAAAACUUGAUUUUAUGGGAUUUUAGUAUGAAGUAUAUAUUGACUUAAUGAGCCAUCAUUUUUAGUCUAAAUCGUAUUUUGCACUAAAACCGAUUUUUCAUAUUUUGAUUUUAUGGGAAUUUAAUUUUAUAGUAUUUUUAUUUAAAUCUAAAUAGGGGGUACUUCCUUAUUUACAUUGUAAAUUUAAGUAAAUGAAGUAAUAUAAAAAUAAAUGAAAGUAAAAGGACAAAGACAUUUACUUAAAUGCUGAAAAUAGAAAUAAGGUAAUUUGUACACCUGGAGUGCACCACCACCAGCUGAGCAAAUGGGCAAUUUGAAGCACCUCCUUGUGUCUUAAUAGGUCCGCCACGACACAUAUGGGUACAUAUCAAAACAUAAAGUAUUUGAAAUAAUAUACNNNNNNNNNNNNNNNNNNNNNNNNNNNNNNNNNNNNNNNNNNNNNNNNNNNNNNNNNNNNNNNNNNNNNNNNNNNNNNNNNNNNNNNNNNNNNNNNNNNNNNNNNNNNNNNNNNNNNNNNNNNNNNNNNNNNNNNNNNNNNNNNNNNNNNNNNNNNNNNNNNNNNNNNNNNNNNNNNNNNNNNNNNNNNNNNNNNNNNNNNNNNNNNNNNNNNNNNNNNNNNNNNNNNNNNNNNNNNNNNNNNNNNNNNNNNNNNNNNNNNNNNNNNNNNNNNNNNNNNNNNNNNNNNNNNNNNNNNNNNNNNNNNNNNNNNNNNNNNNNNNNNNNNNNNNNNNNNNNNNNNNNNNNNNNNNNNNNNNNNNNNNNNNNNNNNNNNNNNNNNNNNNNNNNNNNNNNNNNNNNNNNNNNNNNNNNNNNNNNNNNNNNNNNNNNNNNNNNNNNNNNNNNNNNNNNNNNNNNNNNNNNNNNNNNNNNNNNNNNNNNNNNNNNNNNNNNNNNNNNNNNNNNNNNNNNNNNNNNNNNNNNNNNNNNNNNNNNNNNNNNNNNNNNNNNNNNNNNNNNNNNNNNNNNNNNNNNNNNNNNNNNNNNNNNNNNNNNNNNNNNNNNNNNNNNNNNNNNNNNNNNNNNNNNNNNNNNNNNNNNNNNNNNNNNNNNNNNNNNNNNNNNNNNNNNNNNNNNNNNNNNNNNNNNNNNNNNNNNNNNNNNNNNNNNNNNNNNNNNNNNNNNNNNNNNNNNNNNNNNNNNNNNNNNNNNNNNNNNNNNNNNNNNNNNNNNNNNNNNNNNNNNNNNNNNNNNNNNNNNNNNNNNNNNNNNNNNNNNNNNNNNNNNNNNNNNNNNNNNNNNNNNNNNNNNNNNNNNNNNNNNNNNNNNNNNNNNNNNNNNNNNNNNNNNNNNNNNNNNNNNNNNNNNNNNNNNNNNNNNNNNNNNNNNNNNNNNNNNNNNNNNNNNNNNNNNNNNNNNNNNNNNNNNNNNNNNNNNNNNNNNNNNNNNNNNNNNNNNNNNNNNNNNNNNNNNNNNNNNNNNNNNNNNNNNNNNNNNNNNNNNNNNNNNNNNNNNNNNNNNNNNNNNNNNNNNNNNNNNNNNNNNNNNNNNNNNNNNNNNNNNNNNNNNNNNNNNNNNNNNNNNNNNNNNNNNNNNNNNNNNNNNNNNNNNNNNNNNNNNNNNNNNNNNNNNNNNNNNNNNNNNNNNNNNNNNNNNNNNNNNNNNNNNNNNNNNNNNNNNNNNNNNNNNNNNNNNNNNNNNNNNNNNNNNNNNNNNNNNNNNNNNNNNNNNNNNNNNNNNNNNNNNNNNNNNNNNNNNNNNNNNNNNNNNNNNNNNNNNNNNNNNNNNNNNNNNNNNNNNNNNNNNNNNNNNNNNNNNNNNNNNNNNNNNNNNNNNNNNNNNNNNNNNNNNNNNNNNNNNNNNNNNNNNNNNNNNNNNNNNNNNNNNNNNNNNNNNNNNNNNNNNNNNNNNNNNNNNNNNNNNNNNNNNNNNNNNNNNNNNNNNNNNNNNNNNNNNNNNNNNNNNNNNNNNNNNNNNNNNNNNNNNNNNNNNNNNNNNNNNNAUUAUAGAGUGUGGGACCCAUUGUAUUGGUGGGCUCCACCUCUAUUAGAGAGUUGGUACACAAGUUGGUAUCUAAAGUUGGUCUCCCUAGCAUGACCCAUAACUAAAUGACUCAACUUAGUAAGAAAUACAAAGAAGUUAGAUUUGACAUGACAUGUUAUUGUCAAACUUAAUCAUAAAUUAUUAUUCUAAUGCGUGCCACAAACUGAACAUUUCCUUCGCCAAACAGGUUUAAUAAAUUAACAAAUUAAUCAUUUUUCUUAUGCAAAGCGAUAUUCUAAAGAGUGUUGUUAUUUCAACCCACCUGUCUUAUUUCCCCAUUCACUUAUCUUCAAAAUUUUAAAAACAAAUUAACCCCUUUGUAAAUUGACUUCUAUAUCCCUUAACUAAUUGUUGACACAUAAAUACUCACUUUACUCUAAGCUGACACUGUUAAGUCAAAACAAUAAAAGUAAAAAUAAAAACAAAAAAAUUAGAAGAAAAAAGGCCAACAAACAACCACCAGACCACCCACCCAGCACCACAAACCGACCUCCCCUCCUCACCUCACCACCAGCCACAUAUUCAACAUUCUUCAAAACUUCAAAACCAUGCAAUCCCAAUUCCACAUAUAUAUUCAACAUUCUUCAAAACCACACAAUCCCAACUUCAUAAAUUCAAUAUUUUAGAAAACCUCAAAAACCCAAUUCUAAAAAUUCUACUACUUUUUAUAACGUAGCAGACCUAAUUCCACAAAUUCAAUCAUUUUCAAAACCCAACAAACCCAAUUUCACAAUUUCAAUAAUUUUCAAAACCCAACAAGAGGGCCAACAACGAGAAGGAACACGCGCAUAAAAUCUUUGUAGCACUUGAGCAUGUCAGGGUUUAGGGUUUAGGUACAUCAAAGGUGGUUCAUGUUAGGUUUGGUGGAAGGUACAUCACAGGUGGUUCUUUUUAGCUUUGGUGGAGUGCGCGGCGCUUGCUGAAUUGAAAAUUUUCAUUAUCUAAGUGUUUUUUUUUUGGACUCAACAAUGUGAAGUUAGGGUUAAAAAGUUUUAAGUGAAUAUCUAAUUGUCAAUAAUUAAAAGGUAUUUUAGAAAUAAUGAUGGGUAAAAAUAUAAAAUAUUAUUUUUUAAAAUUUAAAAAGUGAGUGAAAAAUAAGACAGAAGUAAAAAUAACAUCACUCAUUUAAAAUUACUUUAAUUUACACAAAACGGAUAUACAAACUCGAAUUAAUGAUAACUGGCACAGUAACUUGAACAAUUAAUGAAACCAAAAGUGCUUUCAAAUACAAAUGCUUAAACGGUCAACAUCACGGUAAUGUGCCAUGCGAAAGCUGUCAGUGUAAAGAAGACCGUACGAUGUGUGAGGCUAAUAAGUAACUAGUGAGCUACUAAAUGAGCUCCACUAGAAUACAAGAAAGAUAAAAUGUGGUUCCUAAUACAGAGGGAAACGACGACACAUUACACCCCAGCCAACCACAACUCGACAACACAUCCUCAAAACCACUUGUACUCCCUGAAACCGCUUUUCCAUCUCAACUCGUGCCAUGUUAAUUAUAAUCCUCAUUUUCCAUAUCCUGCACACACUUUCUCAGACGCCUUCAGAGCUUUGGCUACAAGAAGAAAAAAAAAACAAAAUUAAUUCAGUUCAGUUCAUUUCUUUAUAUAUAUAGGGUUUCAAGUUGUUGUCUUUCUUUUUUUGGGGCUAGGCUUGGAUUUUGCUCUUGUUUGGGUUUUUUGGUGAAAGAAAAAUUAAAGAGGCAGGAGGUGCAAGCAAAAGAGUGUAAAGUUUUAACUGAGAGAGAUCGUAACUGUUAUCAUGGGAAGGGGUAGGGUUCAGCUGAAGCGCAUAGAGAACAAGAUCAACAGACAGGUGACUUUUUCCAAAAGAAGAACUGGGUUGCUCAAGAAGGCUCAUGAGAUCUCUGUCUUGUGCGAUGCUCAGGUUGCUCUGGUUGUCUUCUCCAACAAGGGCAAACUCUGUGAGUACGCCACGGAUUCAUGGUAAAUAUUAUACAUAUAUAUGAUUUUCUUGAUUUCUGUGGUUUUGUUUUCUUUGUCGGUAGGGUUUCACUGUAUAACUAUGUCCUGACUCCUGCUGGCUGAUCAAUUUGUCAUCUGAUUAUGCUGGUUAGUUUAUGUUUUUAAGAUGUAGAUCGUGCAAGGUAAUUUGCAAAUAGACGACAGCGUACUUGAUUUGAUGUAAAGUAGUACUCUAAGAUUAUACGCUUUUGUUUCUUUUUUGGUCAAAUUACUUCAUGCGUACUUGUCUAAAUUUGAUCUCAAAAUUAUGUUAGUGAGCAAGUACUUGUAUUUAUUUUGGAUCAGCGACGAGACUAAGCAAAAAAACCUGUUAACAUAUUUGUAAUCAAAUUUAAAAAUAAUUAGUAAUAAUUUAGCUGUAAAAUUGUUUAAAAUAAUAAUUUAAUUUAAUUCACUUCACUUGAGAAACAUAGUAAUCUCGAACGAAGUUUUUGUUAGCAAAAAGUGAAAAUGAUGAGAAAAAAAAGGAGUGGAAGCAGCAGGAAAUAUAUAUAUAUAUAUAUAUAUAUAUAGACCCCAAGAAAGCUCAAAGAAAAAAAAAGGGCAUUAGCAUAGACUAAAGUAAAAUAUUUACCAUUUGAGUGCAUAUAAGAAAUUCUAAUGAACAUGACUUGAAAGUUCUUGAAUGAUAUAAUAUAUCCUUGAUUAUUAGUUAAUUUGUUAUAGAAUAUAAGUCCCACGUUGAAACUUUGACUAAAUAAAAUACACUAUAUAAUGAGUGGUUUCACUACUAAUAUCACCGAGGCAUUUUGCGAUAAAAACCGACACCUAUUGGUCAUUGUGGUUAAAUUGGGCACAAUAUCAGUGUUGCUAAUAGUGGACCGUUGGCCCGUCUCUAUGAAAUUUAACAUAAUUAACAUUUUGAUUUCAUCUAGAUACAUACUAAUUAGUUUGUACAUUUUAUAUAUCUUGAUGCGCUGAUCGUGUACAGCAUGGAUCAAAUACUUGACCGCUACGAGAGAUACUCUUACGCAGAAAGACAGCUAGUCGAACCCGAUAUUGAAUCACAGGUACUUGCCUGAAACAAAACUCCGCGGAUAUUAUUGUAUCAUGAGACUGCAGCCUUUUUAAAUGAUUGAUAUGGUCUCUUGGUAACGUUGUACGUUAUACAUAUAUAUAUAUAUCAUGCGCAGUGUAACUGGACCUUCGAAUAUUCUAGACUAAAGGCUAAAGUUGAGCUUUUGCAAAGAAAUCAGAGGUACUAUUUAGUGCUCCAGUUACAGAAACAUGCUCACUUUGUUUUCCUUUGCAUGUUUUUAUUAAUUACUUGAACCUCUAUGGGCAGGCACUAUUUGGGAGAAGAUCUCGAUUCGUUGACUCUGAAAGAGAUCCAAAGUUUGGAGCACCAGCUCGAGACCGCUCUUAAACAAAUUCGAUCAAGAAAAGUACUGAACUAACUAGCUGGAAUCAGCCUCCUAAUUCUACUUUUGAAACUAAACAAACACUUUAAUAUUUUCUUUCUACUGCAGAACCAACUCAUGCAUGAGUCCAUCUCUGAGCUUCAGAGAAAGGUUAGGCCUGUUGUAGCAUAAAUUUUUGACUUGUAAAAAUUGCAGCAUCGAGUUAAACAUGUUCGUAUGUUUUCUCUCAUUCGCUGUGACAGGAAAGGGCGAUGCAGGAGCAAAAUAACUUGUUGGCAAAGAAGGUAAAUUGCAUGCACGCGACGCAAACUUCAUGAACUUGAUAGAUAAUCUUUUUAAAUAAACUACCAGGUGCCACAAUAAACUCGUCAAGAUGUUAUCUAGAGUUUGUGGUCUGGAGUUGUAUAUGUCUUUAAUUAUUUUGCUUCUUUUUAUUUUUAUUUUUAUGGUUUCUGUUUUCCUAUGUACAAUUUGUGAAUAGAUCAAGGAGAAGGAGAAGGCCGCAGCUGAGGAGGUUCAUAACUGGGAGCAGCAAAACAAUGGCCUCAACUUGCUUCCACAGCCGCUUCCAUGUCUAAACAUGGGGUGAUUAAUUUUCUAGGACCUAUCUAUCUUGAAAUUAAUGUUUUCAUUUCUUUGUUAGUAAAUACUUACAUCUAAAAUCAUUCUAAGUUACAUGGAAAUAUGUUAUAAAACACCAUAUGAUCAUACGCAGGGGCACGCAGCAAGAUGAAUUCCUUCAGGUGAGGAGGAACCAGCUGGACCUUACUCUGGAACCAUUAUAUUCAUGCAACCUCGGAUGCUUUGCUGCUUGAUCAUCAAUCAGUACAAAAAGAACAAAACAAAACUACAUAUGUUGGUUUGGUUGUGUAUUAAAUUUCUGGUUUCUUGGUAAAUUUGAACCUAGACUUUGCUAAGGUAUGUGGUCGCAAUCCAAUCAUUGACAGACUAUCAAACAAUGCCAAUGAGGAUUUCAACUUUAAAACUGUUCUAUUUAUUGAUGCCAUAAUUGUUGAGUAAAUAUAUGUAUGCUAUAAACUCUAUAUGACUGCCUUUUUGUCUAAUUUACACCCAAAAAAAAAAAAUCAGAAAUCGGAAAAAAUUGAAUGGUAAAUAAAGUUAGGUUAUAGAAAAUGUUUGAAUAUAAGACACUGGUUAUGCACAAGAAAAGGAAAUGGAAAUAUCAUGUGAAUGGACUUCCUAUAUAAGAGGAAGGUUAACAGCUAGAAUAACAUUGAUCUCAUUUGGAAAAUUAAUUUAAGCCGGAAAGUUAUAGAAUACUUACAGAGCCUCGAUCUUUCGAGAAGAAAGAUUUUCAAAAGAGGAAUGAAAGAAUUGAUAUAAAUCUAAGGUAUCUAACAUAUCGAUUAUGAGCCUUUCGUGCAUCUACUUCUUAGAGUUUAGAUUGCUUAAACUCUUCCACACACAUAUAUAUAUAUAUACUUCAGUUGGUCGCUGCUCUUCACUCUUCAGUGAUCAUUGCAUUCUAGACAUUUUGGUUAAGUCUCAAGACGAUUCAUCAAAUAGCAUCACCUAAAAAAAUCAAUUUGAAGACAGUCAGGGCCUGUUUAGUAUUCAACUUGAAUCCAACAUUUUAAACUCAAAAAACAAAGAAAACAUGUUUGGUAGCUCUAUUUUUUAAAACUCAAACUCAAGAACAACUGAAAAACACCCCAAUUAUUAAAAACAAAAAAUAUCUGUUUUUUCAGUUUUUUUUUCUCUAACAACCCACAAGUUCUCAAAUUUUUAAGAUUUGAAAAUAAUUUUUAAGUUGCAUACCAAACAAGUUUUUGAAUCUUAAAAAUAGAUUUAAGAACUCCUUGUUUUUAAGAAAAAUCAAAAUUUUUGAGUUCCCUAUUUGAAUAAGAUUCCAAACGCCCCUCAAAUUCCAUAUGAAGUUACAAAUCCAGCUCUUACAUGCACCUCACUCUUUUGUGAGGAAGCACGAUUGAAACUUUUCUCCGUAGAUUGAAAAAAAAAAGAGUUGCAAAAGAAGUUGGGGGACAGUUUGGAUUAGUUUAUGUAAAAAUUCAAACACCAAAAAAAGAUAUUUGUUAUCUAUACAAGUUAUUAGAGUUAUGGAAGAAAUUGAUUACCCGGCUGCAAAUAGGACAGUUUUGGCUUCUCUCCAUCCAUUCAUAUAUACAAGCAAGGUGGUAGUGGUGAGAACACUGCAUGGUUGUCUUAGGAUUUUCAGGUGUGUAUUCUGCAGGCAUUACAAAAACAGAGGUGCCAAGUUUUUACCACCAAACAAAUAAGAAGAUAAAUAUAAUAGAUUUGCCAUAUGGCACCAGAUAUUUAGAAAAUAAUAAUCACCUUCAAAACAUGUGGGGCAUUCAUCCUCAUGUUCUAUUGAAUUUGAAUCAUGUAAAUAAACAAGUUCUUGGGCUCUUUUUCCAGAUGGUGUAAUCUCAUUGGGUGCUGUAGACUCAUUGGGUGCUGUAGACGAGGCUGGUGCAGCCUGAUCAGUAGAUGGAUUGACUGAAUCUUUUCUCCCAUUCUUGAUUGAGGCUGCAAAUUCCUUUAUCUAAACAUUUAAUGAUGGAUGAUCAUGAUCAGAAAUUGAUUAGAAGCAAGUAAAGCCCAAAAAAUAAAAAAUAAAAUAAAAACAGAACCAAAGAAUUUGGUAUACUACUUGUAAUGGAAAACCCAGAAACAUACUUUGUUGCACAAGUUAGGGAUGAAGCCAACAUCAUUAUUAUCAUUAUUAUUGGCAUUGUGAAUGUCAUCUUGUACAUGGAAGCAACAACAAACAGAACCCAUGACACAGCUUGAUCAGUUUUUUGCUUCCUUCAAGCUUAACCGGUCCUCCCCUGCCUUGCCUGCAGUGAUCAUAACAAAACCAAAAAUAUCUAAAUAUUUUAAGAGGCAUAAAAUAAAAGAACCAAAUCCAAUAUGAAAAAACAGGCUUGCUGAAGUUGCAGAGAGAAUAUAGAAGAAAGCAUACUUGAUAGAUAGAUACUCAAUGGUGACGCUUCCUUCCUUCUUCCCAUAAACUCCCAAACAAACCAAAACUGAAAACAAAUAUAAAGAAGCGGUAAUUCAAGUCCUAAAGCCGUGUUAUGUGCAUAAUCCUACUUGUGUAAGGAUACUGGUUUCCGCAUACAAUCAGUAAUUCAGAACUGGAAAGGUAAAGAUUACGUGUGGGCCAUUGUUUGUGGGCCUUUUCCAAUUUUUUGGAUUUUGGGUCGGGCCGAAGCCAAUUUGGAUUAGGCUGAGUUUUGAACCGACUCAACCUAAAGUUUGGAACAAAGUUUUUGUGUGUGUAUUCUAUUUAAAUGAGGGUCAAGCGUAAAGCAUCCCCUUGUCUAGGGUUUAUUUUCUGUUUCUUAACAUACAGUUUCUCUCUUGUUCCCUGGCUCUCGAGGUCAGGGGCGGAUCCACCAUGGGGUCAAUGGGGUCAAACGACCCCAUGGCAGAUCUGGAGUUUAGUGGUAGGGACUGGUUUUUGCCCUUGGCAGCCAUGGAAGUGACCCCAUGGAGAAGAAGAAGAAGCUUCGGUGGUGGCAGCUGGAGCAAGAAGAAAGAGAGAGAGGGAAGAGAGAUGGAGCAGACGGAGGACAGAGAAGAAAGAAAAGAAGAAGAGAGGAAGAAGGAAAAAGAAUAAAAACAGAGAGGGGAAAAAGGAAGAAGGAAAAAGAAAAAAGAAAGAGGGAGACGGGAGGAGGGAGAGAGAGAGAAAGAGGAAAAAAGAAUAAAAAAGAGAGAGAGGGGAAAAUAUAAUAAAAAAGAGAGAGGGGAAAUAUAAUAAAUAUUUUUUUCUUUUUUUUUUCUUUGUUUCCUUUCAAACCCUUCUAAAUAUUUCAACAAUAUUAAUAAUAAUUCCAUCAUUUUUUCUAUUUCAAAUGUCGUAUAAUAACAAAAAGUUCUAAAUAUGAAGAAGAAAAUAUAUUGAAAAAAGAUUGCUUAUAUAAAAUAAAAAUAUAACAACAAGGGCUUAUAAUUUAUCCACACAAAAAAAAAAAAGAAAAAAAAAGCCACUCCUGUGGGUCACCUCUAGUUUUCAGUUCGUACAAUCUAUUGUUCAAGCCUAAAAAUAUACAAAAACAACCAAAAUCCACAAAAACUCACCAAAUUUUCUUAAUACAUUUGUACUUAAGGUAAAUUUAGCCCGCCCGAUUUGCAAUUCCUGGGUCCGUCCCUGUCCACCACCAAUAUCUCAUCCCUUGACAUCGCCGCCAAGGGUGCUAGCUGCCGUUCACCAACAGUCGUCUCCGUCGCCGUCACUAUUUUUGUGACCCCACGAGUGACAAUUCCUGCAUCCGCCACUGCUCGAGGUUAAACGUUUAAUUUGAAGACUUGUUGGUUUCGAGGUCGGAGGUCUUUCAAUGGCCAUAAAAUGUGGUGCAACGAACCCGGAACUUGCAGACGAAAUCAUAUUCUCUCAUAUACUCCCACGGCUACCAGCAGAGGAUCUGAUGCGAUGCAAGUGCGUAUGCAAGUCUUGGUCCUCCCUCAUCCGCAGCCCUUCCUUUGUCGCCUGCUUCCACGACUUUCACAGCAAUGACACCACUAACUUUUUUUUCAGACGGAUAAGCGAGUUCUUCUCGUCAAAAAUAGAGCAACAAGGGACUGUUCCAACACCCGGCGCCGAAAUUUUCCAAUUUCCGAAUGAUUAUUUUACUGAUGUGCAGAGUGUCCAUGGCUUGGUUUGUGCAUCCUCUCACUCCAACUCUGUUUUCAUACUUAACCCUACCACCCGAGAGUCCAUCCAACUUCCCCAUUCCCGUGUAAUAGAAACCCGCACGCCUUCGGUUACAUAUCGCUUCGGGUACAUUCCAAGUACCAACGAGUAUAAGGUUCUCCAGAUCCUCUCCUUUCGUCUAGACAUUGAUGGAAAAUGGGAUCUUCAGUUUAACACAUUGACACUAGGUAGGGAUUAUUGGUGGAGGCCAUUGCAGGUAGAUCCUCGCCAUCUUCCUUUUGAUGCUCUAGCUUAUGCCUUUGACUCUUAUAAUAAUAUACUUAGACAUAGUGGAAGUGUGUGCCUCAAUGGGGCCGUCCAUUGGAUAUACGAGAAGAAGAAAUUGAUAGUCGCAUUUGACUUUAGAGAGGAGACAUUCAAAGCGAUCCCACUACCUGAAGAUUAUGAUAAAGAGAUUGCUGAUUAUUUUGAUCAAGAUGCCAAUCAUUAUAUAGGUGAUGGUAAUCCUGAUGCUUAUUGCCAUCCAAGUAUGGUUAAGGUAGGGGGAUGCGUGGGUGUGAUUGUUGACAUGUCAUGGAAACGGGACAAGAUCAUGUUAUGGACUUUGAAGGACUAUCAUAACCAUGUGUGGGUUAAGGAGACCAUUAGCUUGGCAUCAGAGCCAAGUUAUCUUGAUUGUCCGCGCUACGUUGAUGCUUUGGGUACAGUCCACACUGGUGAGUUUGCGCUGGUGCACUAUUUUGUUGGACUUACUCCAGGAUAUGGUGACGGUCCACCCAGAGUGCUUCUUUAUGAUAUGAAGAGCAAACAAUAUAGAAUAAUUGAUUUUGUUUUUCCGGAAGAUGAUGAUUGGCGAGAUGAGCCUCCAAUUAAGUUAAUUACUAAUUAUGAUGAUAGCAUUGUCCCCUUAAAAUGAGAGAGAUUACCUUAUAUACCCAUGUUCUAUUUGCCGUCAUCUAUUAGCAAAUUUCACUGUAUUUUGCUGAUUGCUUUUUUUCUUUUUCUUUUUCUUUUAAGGGUAAUAAGAUUAAUCUUUCUUUCUGGGGCACUCUAUUUUUCUAUUAAUACAGUAUAGCAAUUCUCGUCUGUGUAUUGGAAUUUGGAUAGUAUAUAUAUUUUGAGACUAGUUUCUUGUUCCUAACCUAACAACCAAUGCCGAUGCUUCCUUCCUUCUUCCCAUAAAAUCCCAAACAGACCAAAACAGAAAACAAAAAUGAAGAAGCGGCCGGUAAAGAGUAGAAAAGCAAAACUCAAGUCCUAAAGCCAUUGUUUGUGGGCCUUUUGCAACUUUUUGGAUUUUGGGUCGGGACCAACUAGGGGUGGGCAUCGGGACCGGAAAACCGGAACACCGAACCGAACCGGUGAAAAAAACCCGAAAAAAAACCGGUUGACCAAAAAAGUCAACAAACCGGACCGAACCGGUUCCAACCGGUUCCGGUUUUGGUUUUACAUCUCUCCGCACCGAACCGGACCGGACCGAACCGGACCGGACCGAACCGGACCGGUCAUAUAUUUUAUAUUUAUAUUUUUACAAAAUUUUAAAAUCUAAUGCCAUUUUUUAACUUCUAUAAUCACUAAUUUUCCAAGUUCAACUUUAAAAAAUUUCUAAAUGUAUGAAUUGGAUUAUUUGUUCAUUUUUAAGCUAAAAAAAUAAGUUAUUUAUUAUAAUUUUUUUAUUAAAAAAAUUUAAAAAAAAUAAUAAAUUAAUAAUCCGGUUCAAAACCGGAACCGGUCAGAACCGGACCGGAACCGGUUAGAACCGAACCGGCCGGUUUUCGAAAUUUUUUUUGCCUAAACCGGACCGAACCGGACCGGUUAAAUAAUACCGAUUUCGGUUCCGGUUUGAGGUGAGAACCGGACCGCGCCCACCCCUAGGACCAACCCAAUUGAGUGUGCGGCCCAAAUGUACAACUGUAUUCAAUUAAAAAUUUUAAGUAAUCAAUAAAAGUUUGAUGACAUUUAAUUAGGAUUUUUAAAAGAUAACAAAAAGUACUGUGGUGUAUUGUGUAAAAAUAAAAAAAAAAAAUCAUAAGAGAGACAAUAAAGGGUCCACAUCACAACACACUCCCCAUUUUUCCUCCUCUUUUUUUUUUUUUUCUUUCCUUCUCUCUCUCUCUCUCUCUCUCUCUCUCUCUCUCUCUCUCUCUGUGUACAAUAAACAGCCACCAUUUUUUUUCCCCAAAAAAAAAACCACCACUUUUCUUAAGACGGCAUAGUGAUUAUUAUUGGUAUUCCUCCAUACGAUUUGGCUACACCUUUAGUUAAUGUGGUGAGCAAAAAUGCUCCCAUAGGAAUAUAAAGUAAAAUCCUAUAAUUGUAAUCUAUUAAAAUCAUAAGUAAAAUCAUGUAAUUGCAAUUUAUUAAAAUCAUAAGUAAAAUCAUAUAAUUACAAAUCCGAUUGAAAUCCAUUAUAUUAAAAUCUGUUAAAAUCUCAAUUGAACACACCCCCUUAAAAUUUGUAGUAUAAGGGCUAAAACCGCUUGUUCACAAUGAAAAACGCUUAUAAAAUUGUUUGGCAAAAAAUCUUAUGAAUCAUGAAAAAAAAAAUUUAAAAGCACUUGAAUAUCUAAUAAAAAUAUAAAUGUACUUAUAAUAAAAGCGCUUCUAACUAAACAAUAUCAAACGGUCUCUUAAUUCAUGAAGGAAAAAAGUCAACCUUCAUCACUUAACUUGCCAGACUACAAAAACAUAAAAACAUGAUAAGACAUGCAUAAGAAACUUCUUUUUAUUUUUUUUUAAAAAUCCACUGUUUUGCUUUCAAAGAUUGGAAGUCAAAUUGGAGGUUGGCACGUCCUUUCUUGGUGUUAAAGUUGUCCAUCAAAGCAUAGCCAUCCGAAUUAAUGAAAGAUUUUACCACUUCGUUUCAUGUGUCAUUGUGUCAACCCCAAUGUUCAUCAUGAGUCACAGUUUUAUGCUAAGCUAUACCAACCCCAAGAAAUCUCAUUGUAUUUCUGACAUUUUAUGCUAAAGUAUGAAUUGCAGUUGAGCUUUAUGCUCAAUCAUUUAUAAUUUUUAUUUUUAUUUUUUAAAUUUUGGGAAUAUGUGGUAAACAUGAUUGGGUUUGUGUGUAAAAUUUGAUUACUUUCCGAAUGAUUGUUUUGGUUGCGUUUGAGCCACGCUAGUUGUUUAUGAAAAUAGACAACAGAAGUUCUGCAUAAUUAAUUAAAGCCUUUAUAAAGUUCUAAUUUGCUCUAAGAGGAUGCCAGCACAAUUAGGGAUUAAAUAAAUAUAAUCUCACCUAACAGAGUAAGCGUCCCUUGAGCUGCAAUUCAAGUGGUGUCACACACUGAUCUUAUAUUAUAAAACUUUUAUCGGAAUUAUUGAGUAAAUAAAUUCUUAUUUGUUGCUUUGAAAAAUAUUAAUUAGUACAUUGAUUAUGUGACUAUAAGAUGCCAGAUUGCCCUGAAGUGAACAGCUGCAGGGUCUAAAUUCUAAAAGGAAUUUGCAUGGCCCUACAGCUUCAUGAUAAGCACGUUCAGAAAUAGCACCCCACAAGGGAAAAAUAAAAGAAACAGAGAGCUAGCAUGAUUACACGGCAAAAAUAAAGAAAAAGAAUAAAGCAAAGCAGAAAAUCCAUGGCCCCCAGACCAACAUCUAGAAAUUUGUUCAGCUUCAGCCACAGCCACAGGCAAGCCAACCCAAGUGUCUCUCUCUCUCUCUCUCUCUCUGCCUUGCCUUCUUCUGCCCUGCUCUUUAUAACAUUUAUAGCCUAGGUGUCUCAAAACUCAGCUGAGUUUAACCUCAUAUCAGGAAAAAAAAAAAAUGGGGAAAAUAGGCACCAAGUUGCCGGGCUUCUGCCUAAACAGAAUUAGGCCCCAUGUCAGAGUUCGUUCUCCAACUAUACAGUCCAAGGUAGAUGCUCCCUCAGAUGUCACCAAAAACAAUGCUGAUAAAAAAGCUGAGAAUUCUGGCAAUGUUGGGGAAGAAAAAGCUGGUGGUAAUGGAGCUAUAGCUAGGAAAAUCAUGAUUGUGGUUGAUUCUAGCCUUGAAGCUAAAGGAGCCCUGCAAUGGGCUCUCUCUCACACUGUUCAGAGCCAGGACAAACUUGUCCUGCUUCAUGUAACCAAACCUUCAAGUUCAAAACAAGGUUUGGAGAUUUUUUAUUUUUGGUUUUUGUUCCUACAAUUUGAUUUUCUGAAGUUGAGGAAACAGAGUAUUUUAAUGGAUUAAUCACUUGUUACAGCAGCUGGUGAGGAGCCCAGCAAGGAUGUAGCUCCAAGGGCUUAUCAACUUGUUCACUCUUUGAGGAACAUGUGUCAGUUGAAGAGACCAGAGGUGGGUAUUUUACAGUUUGAUCACAUCAUUAAUUGGCCAUUCCAAACUUAAUCACUAUUAGCAAAGCUUUAAUUAACUAGAGCUAAUAGAAAUUUCUUCUGGGCAAGUGCAUGUGUGUUUGUUGCAUCACAGAAUUAGAACAGAGGAAAAUACCAACUUACUUCUUUUAGUGUUUCUGUAGACAGAGGUUCAUGUUUUUACUUCCCUUUAAAAGGGUACUUAAAAUGGAAUGUUGGCUUACCCAAGUUGGCAUAUAGCAUUUUUUAUCAUGUGGUAGCACAGUGGAGAAAAUUCCCAGUUUAGUCUUGUGCAUUGAUGAGAUACUUCAGAAAUAGAAAAAAGAGCAGCUAAUUAGUAAGAUCAUGCCCCACAGCCCACAGUAAGACGUGGCCAAGCUUUUAAAUUCAGAAAUAGUCCUUCAAUUUAAAGGUCAAGCUCCAAAAAUCAGGGUUAUAAAUAUCAUUAUCAAUAAAUCAUACUCCUAAUAUCACAGGUACAAAUUGAGGUUGCAGUGGUGGUAGAAGGUAACAAGGAGAAAGGUCCAACUAUACUGGAAGAGGCCAGAAAACAAGAGGUGGCACUGCUUGUUCUGGGGCAGAAAAAGAGGUCUACUACAUGGCGUUUGCUGAUGAUGUGGGCAGGCAACCGGGUGGGCGGCGGUGGCGGCAGCAGCGUUGUGGAGUACUGUAUACAAAACGCCAGUUGCAUGGCAGUUGCUGUGAGGAGGAAAAGCAGGAAAGUUGGAGGCUAUUUGAUUACCACAAAGCGCCAGAAAGAUUUCUGGCUCUUGGCUUAAUUAACUAAAAUGUGUUAUAUAUAUGAUAGUCUAGUCUUACUACAUGAAAAAGUUAUGAUUGGUUUUUUUGGCAUCUGUUUGUAAAUUAAAGGUGGUUAUGAAUGAAAAAGUGUUGCUGUGAUCAUUAUUUAGGCCAUUGGCCUAUUAUGUGUUUGGAGAGACAAUGGGGUCCCUUGGCUCCUUUAUCUCCAGGUCUUGCUAUACUGUUACUUCAGUGCGUGAAGAAGGCCUAGCCUAGCCUAGCUCACAUCACAUGGUGCCAAAUUACCAGAGCAUCUUUGGGACAGAUUCCCUUGGUUAGGACAUGGUGGGGGACAUGUUAGCCUACCUGACCCUGUCCUUGUUGUCACAUUUGAGCAAAGUGGUUAGUUUGGUUGCUAAUUUAUGGAAAUCAAAGUGUUGUUGAGGUAACUACUUAUAUGAGAUGGAAAUCAAAUUCUUUUAAUCAGAUUUGAAAAUCUUGGAAGGCUUUUCACCCCAGCUAAAGCCACAAAAGACUUACUGUUACAGAGAGCCCGCGAGGGGUUUGUAGCCCAAGGUUAAGAGUUACCCUAGUAUAUGAGGUCUUGUUUUCGAAUCCCCCUCCUCUAAUAUCACUUGUAUAUAAAAUAAAAUAAAACAUAAUAUAGAGCUGGGUUCAUGAAUGACUCAUCAUUAUAGUUUGUGCAAACGGGAAAAGAUCAUGUUUGGAAGGACAGAAAGCAUUGUUGCCCUUCUGCUAAAGUCUGAAUGGGGCGGCCAUGCUUGGAAUCGGAAGGAAACAACACAAUGUAGCUAGGCCCCUGUUUUCUGAUUUAAAGAAAAGCACUCAUUUUCAAUCCCAGGCCUGAAAUCCAUGCUGCAGCCUGCAGGUCAGUUCUAUCUAUGUCUUGGGGCCUUCAUCUGCUGCGCCUUCCCAAAGCUUUGUCAGAUGGAAAUUUAGAAUUUCUAUCUUUGCAUCUGCAUAUCCAAAAGAUGAACACAACCUAAUGAUUCUAAUUGUCCUAUAAAACAAAAGAGAAACAUAGUGACGCUUAUGUUUAAUCAUGAACAAAUUAAAAGUCCUUUAUGUUUAGUUUUUAAAUUUUUUUAAUUAUUAGUAUUAGUCCUCCAAAAAACUCCAUACAUCAAAAGAUAUAUGUUUGGUUGCAAGAUCAUGUAAUGCAUGACUUAAUCAUUAAAAUUGGGGGAUUCGAACGUGGAAUCACUUUAAUUUCUAUCGUUGAAAAGAGAAAUACCACUAGACUAAAAGUUAGUUGAUUCACGGCUUACAACUAAUUAAAUAGUGAAUAUAAUAUGGUUUUACACCAAAAGAGUAAGUUGGUUAUGGUUGAACUGGUUUAACUAAUAGUGAAACAAGUUGUUUUUCUAAUAUGAAAUAUUGAAAUCUAAUCUUUGGAUUCACCAAAGUCUUAGCAUAGCUUGUUUUCAGCACUGUGGAUCGGUCUCAUAGUUAAAUAAAAAAAGAUUACUUUUUUUUCCUACCAACACCAAGUUACUGUAGGUGGUAAUUUGCUAACUACUGUAAGUUGAAUUUUUUUUUAAAUUUUUAAAUUUUGAAAGAAAGCUUAACAAAAGCCUAUAUUAGUGAGCUGGUUAAACCCAUGGGGCUCAAACGAGUCAGGCGAUACCCGACUGGAAUCCGACCCGCCCGUCAAAGUCCCCAACUUCCAAGUUCUCCAACCAACGAACUCAACUUCCCGCAAAACCCUAAACCCUUCCUUCUCCGAAUCCAUUGAUAGACAUAGACCCUUCAGCACCAGCUCAUAUCUGCCCCCAUCAAGUCCCAAUGGCGAAACACAAGGAUAAGAAGAACAUGAAAUCAGGGCCAAACGCCGUCGCCAUGAAGCACCAGGCCCCAAAACCCAACCCCUUCGCGGCCAAAGCACCUAACCCUAGCAGAGCGGACACCAAGAACAAUAAGGAGACGACGACGACGAAGAAGAAGAAGAAUAAGUUGGGCCCAAGCUCCAUAGCCAUGAAGCUCCAAGCUCCAAAACCCAACCCUUUCGAGACCAUAUGGUCCCGAAGGAAAUUCGACAUUCUCGGAAAGAAACGCAAAGGCGAAGAGCGCCGUAUUGGCCUCUCUCGCUCUCAUGCCAUUGAAAAGGCACUGACUUCAUCACUCCCUUCGUAAUUCCAUUCAAAUUUCCAAAUUUUAUUUUAUUUAUUUUUUUAAUUUUUUGUGUGCGCAGAGGAAGAACACGCUGUUGAAAGAGUAUGAGCAGAGUAAUAAGUCUUCGGUCUUUGUCGAUAAGCGAAUUGGAGAGCAUAAUGAUGAGCUCGACGAGUUCGAUAAGGCCAUUCGGCGUUCCCAGCGUGAGCGUCUGGUAAGUCCAUUUUCCAAAUGACUUUAUGAAACUGAAUAUUUCUUUGUUCAAAAGCUUAUCUCAUAGACGUGUACAUUCUAGCAUAUGAUAUCUAAUUUCAUUUACUUUCCUCCAGCUUUCUACGCAAUUGUAACUCGAUUUCAAAACUAUAUUCAGUUUAAGUCAUUGGUAUUUCAUGAUUAAUCUCUUCAAUUUCUCAUUACACUCUUUAUUCUGUUCUCUCUUCCUUUUUCUUUAAUAGUCAAAGCAGAACAAGAAAAGCAAGUAUAACUUAUCAGAUGGAGAAGAAGAGGACUAUGAAUUCCAAAGUCUUGGUGCAUUAUCUGAAAGGGAUGAUUUUGAGGAUGAUAUGCUUCCUGAUGACAAUGAAGAUGGAGCCGGAACUGCUAAAACUAAGAGUAUGUAUGGAGAUACUGCGAUAUGUGUUGUUUGUUUAUUCAGCGGGGUUUACUUUUCAUUUGUGCAGGUUAGAUUCAUAGUGUAUCAUUCAGGGUCCAGAGACCAAUUCAAAUUUGGUUAUUGAAAUGUCGAUGAUUUUUAACUGUAAUCAUUGGAUAGAAGUACAUGUGGGUGAUGGUUGAGCUGUACAAUUCUGGCUUCUGGUUAAUAUCUUUUUUCUGGAAUAGGCUUUAUUGUUAUCGUACAAGUAUUGGAAGGGUCUCUUGCUCAUAUCCAGUAAAGGAAAAUAAUAAUACAUAAAUUGAUAACUGAUUUUUGAUGUAAACCAAAAUGUUUCGAGUGCCUUUACGUUUUUUUUCGGGCAACAUGUGUACAGUGCUCUUCAACUGUACAUCUCCCUAAAUGUUAUUGCUUGGGAGUAGGCCAUAGUACUACUACUCUUAGUGAAGGUUGCCAUUUCCGUUCUGUAGUUGCUUUUCAUGUUUGGUUCUGUUGGACCAUUGAAACUGCUUAGAAUUUGGUUAUUUAUUCUUUAGGACUAUGCUAAUGGUGUUAAUGCUGCCUGCCUUGUUUUCUGCAGAAAGGUUAGCCACACUAGAUCAAUUUGAGUCCCAUGAUAAGCAGAAUCUACAGGACGAUGAUCCAAUGGAAGGAGAGGAAAAUGUGAGGUCUUCUUUACUAUCUGAGUUUCUGUGCAUUAUAUUCAAAUUCAAGAUUGUAUAAUUGUCUUUGCUAGAUUUCAGGAUUUUAAAUGACAUUUCCUGACUGCUUCAUUUACCAUAGUUUUUCUCUUUCAAAACUCCCCCAAACCUCUUUAUAUGUGAUUUCCCUUGUCCAAAUUUUCUUAUAGGAAUUAAUUCUUUCUUCUAUAUGAUGUCGCAAAUAGCCUGUCAAUCUUUUUCAAUCUGCAAUUUGGGAAGGGGAUUCAAGUGAUCCUAAUUUGUUUUAUUGUUUUCAUUAUACAGAGACAUAAAAGCAAGAAGGAAGUAAUGAAGGAGCUUAUGGCAAAAAGCAAGUAUCACAGGGUGGGAUUUUAAUUCUUUAUGGCAUUCAAAUUGAUUUAUGAUAAUGGCUACAUUUUUUUCUCCUUUUUUUUGUCCUUUAGUUAUGAUUUCCAUUCUUCAUUAUCUUUUGGUCUAUUCCCAGGCAGAAAGAGCAAAACAUAAGGAAGAACUAGAAGAUUUUGGGCAAGAAUUGGACAAAAUCUUUACAUCCAUGGCGCAGUCUAAGCUUUUAGAAUUGGCUGAACCAGACAAGAGUGUUCCAAAUGAGAAGAAGGAUGAGCUUUCUGGACAGGUAUGACAUUUUUGAUGUAGGUCCUUUCUUGGUCCUGACACUUCCCCCUCAGCAAUAGUGAUGCUAUUGGUUUCUACUUCUUAAAAGUUAUGAAGUGUUUUUUUAAAUGUUCUUUAAUUUAUUAAGUCUUUAAUUCCUUGAUAUUUUCAAUUAGCAUGUUAUGUUCUCUGAUUUGCAUAGUAUUGCUUCCAAUUUUGCAGUGUUUUUAUUUAUUAAUUUUUAUGUUAUCCUUUUGUUUACUUGUGUGUUUUCUUUAUGGAUGUAUUAUAUGAAGCUGUAGCUCUUUAUGUUCCGCUUACAUAAAUCUGAGUAUUCGCAACUUAAUCUAGUUUGCUGUAUUUGGCAGGAAGUAGCUCGCUCUUACUUCAAAGCUUUGGGAACAUUAGCAUUGGAACGCCGUGGUCAGCCCUCAGAUAGGACAAAGACACCUGAAGAGAUAGCACAAGAGGAGAGAGAGCAGCUUGAGCAUUUGGAGGUAUCUCAUUUAGUUAUGACUUAUGAGUGUGCUUGCAUUCACUCAUGUUCAUGCCUGCUUUAUGUUGGGGUUUUUUUUAUUGUUGUUAAUAAGUUCAUUCUAUUGGUGUCAAUAUCAUCUGAAAAUUAAGAAGUAAUGUAACUCUUUUAAUAUAGCUACAUGGUACAAAAAGUAGGUUGACUAUCCAACAGUAAGUUUCUUCCCUCAUGUACCAUGUAAUAGUUGAAAUUUUUCAAUUUAUUUGUAAUAUUAGCAGUCCAUAUUAGUAUAUAGUAGUAGGUUGUUGGUCAGUACAAUAUGCAUGCUUUUGCCCACUAAGAUGUGUCGUUCAUAUUUUAUUCAGUUAUAUGGUAACUGGUGUCAUCUGUAAUGUAAUUUGAUUAAUUUAUCAUGUACACCUUGAUUCUGGUGGCACAGUGGCAUGAUAUUUUUAGGAUCUAGCAAUGCUUUAGAGUCGACGUUUUAGGCUUUCCAUUUCCUGUUGUGUCUGAAUUGUACUUUUUAUUAUGAAGUUGAAUGCUCACUAGAAUUUGCGUCACAAUUCAGGAAGAGAGACAGAAGAGGAUGCUUGCCACCGAUGACUAUAGUGAUGAUCAAAAUGAAGAUGAUGAGAUUCCGUCUACCCAGAGGCCAAGGGCUAUAUCUGGGGAUGAUCUUGGUGAUUCCUUCUCGCUUGAUGAAGAGCCUAGGAUUAAAAAGGGUUGGGUUGAUGAGAUUCUUGAAAAAAAAGAUGCUAGUGAUUCUGAGAGUGAAGAAGGCGGUUCUUCUGAGGAUUCAGAAAGUCCUGAGGAUGGCAGUGAUGAAGGAUCUGAUGAAGAUGAUAAUGAAGGUGAAAAGAAUCUAUUGAUGAAGGACUGGGAACAGAGCGACGAUGAUAAUCUUGGAACAGAUUUGGAUGAGGAGGAAGAAGAAGAAGAAGAUGAUGAUGAUGAGUCUGAAGGACAUGAAAAUGAUGAUGAUGUUAAUGAAAAAAAGAUGGAGCCAAGAGAGCUUAAAAGGUUGAAAAAAAAUGAUGCUAGUAAAAAACAGGGCAAGGUAUCUCAGGAUGGUAAACGACCUUCUACUCAAUCAGACCUCCCAUACCUAAUCGAAGCUCCAAAAAGCUUGGAAGAGUUAAGUGCAUUGGUGGAUAAUCUUUCUAAUUCCAACAUUGUCGUGAUAAUCAAUCGAAUCCGGAAAAGCAAUGCAAUCAAGCUUGCAGCAGAAAAUCGGAAGAAAAUGCAAGUAUGAAACUUCUGGCUGCUUUUACAUUUUGUAAAUGAGUAUUGCCUGCAUUAUGUUAAAAUGUGCAUCAAUUCAGGUUCCUGCAUUUCCAAUUCGUGAUUUAAUAGUUUGACUUGGAUUUAACUUUCGUAAGCAAAAAUUCAAGUGAAUGAAGAUAUACAUAUUCUGUUUUCAUUGUAUAUGCUAAGUACUCAUUGCUGUUUCUGUCAUUUUCCAGGUAUUUUAUGGUGUACUUCUGCAGUAUUUUGCCAUCUUAGCAAAUCAAAAGCCGUUGAAUAUAGAGUUAUUAAAUUUUCUGGUUAAGCCAUUGAUUGAGAUGAGUAUGGAGACUCCGUACUUUGCUGCAAUUUGUGCUCGUCAGAGAAUUUUACGGGCUCGAACUGAAUUUUGUGCAACUGUUAAAAACCCAGGUAAUUCAUAAUGGAGUCAAUAGUUUUGUUUCUCUGGAAUCACAGUUAAGAGCUUGCUCUUGCUAAGGUGCUAAUUCAUUGUCCAAUUGUUUUGUUUCUACAGAAAACAGUUGUUGGCCUUCUUCAAAGACAUUAUUUCUUCUGAGGCUUUGGUCCCUGAUAUUUUCAUGCUCUGAUUUUCGUCAUGUGGUCAUGACUCCAGCAACAGUGUUAAUGUGUGAAUAUCUGGCGCGAUCUCCUAUCGUGUCUGGACGUGAUGCUGCAGUUGGUUCUUUCUUAUGCUCUAUGCUUCUCUGUGUAUGUAUAUUUAUGAUUUCCUUUUUCUUUGUUAGACGCAUUUUUUCAAUAGAUUUUCAUAACAGAGAUUUUCAUAGAAUUGUAUUUCAGUCCAACAGUUUCAGUUCCACCUUUUUUUCAUUUGAUUAUUUUAUUAUGUAGAUCACCAAACAAUCUAGGAAGUUCUGCCCUGAAGCAGUCAUGUUUCUCCGAACAUUGCUGAUGGCAGCUAAAGACAGAAAGCCGGCGACAAAUCAAGAUUCUCAGGUAUGACUGUUCCUUGUAAUGUAAUUCUUGACCAUAGAAAGAACCGUAUGUUUUUAUUGUCAUGAGAAGGCAAUUAGUUUACAGUUGCAUGAUGAAGUAACCAUGCUCUUUUUAUUUUUCUGGCAGUUUUAUGAGCUUAUGGAAUUAAAAGCACUCAUGCCCCUUUUAUGUAUACGUGAAUGCGUAGAUCAGAUUGAUCCUCUGAAUUUUCUUACGUUAAUGGACCUGCCAGAUGACUCCUCAUUUUUGAGCUCUAAUAAUUUCAGGUUAGUUGUUUGUUACAGUAUUUUUUGAUACAUCGUGGAAGUGUCCAUGGGAUGCAUUAUAUUUUAGACCUGAGAUUGUAUAUCAAUUGUUGAUACAUAACUGUAAAGUUUGCAUAUGCUCUUCUAGCCAACUAUUUGGUCUUGGAACUAGGUGGGGUAAACUUGAUUUCAUAUUGCCGAAAAUUAUAUACACAGAAAGUGCUGCUCUUUCUCAUAUGUCUUCAGAGUCUAUUUUUCAAGUUAGUUACACUUUUUAAAAAGUUGAACUUUGAAUUUUCAGGGCUAGUGUGCUGUUGACUGUAAUUGAAACUCUACGUGGAUUUGUCAGUAUCUAUGAAGGAUUCAGUUCUUUUCCUGAAUUUUUUUUGCCCAUUUCAAUAUUGUUGGUUGAAGUGGCGGAACAGGAUAAUAUGCCACAAGUAUUAACAGACAAAUUUCAAGAUGUUGCUCAACUUAUUAAGACAAAAGCAGAUGAACAUCACAUUCUGCGGCAACCACUUCAGAUGCGGAAGCAAAAGCCAGUGGCUAUCAAAAUGCUUAAUCCGAAAUUUGAGGAGAAGUAAUAUAUCUUAACCCCCCGACCCCAAUUGCCUUAAUAUUAUUUUUGUUGGGCAGUUAUACUUUGAAUUGCGUAAACACUGAAUGAUAUGUUGUUCUGCAGCUUUGUUAAGGGCAUAGACUAUGAUCCAGAUCGUGAACGAGCUGAGAGAAGAAAGUUGAAGAAAGUUCUAAAACAAGAAGCUAAAGGGGCUAUCCGUGAACUGCGUAAAGAUAAUUCUUUCUUAUAUGAGGUGAAGGCGAGGGAGAAGGUGCUGAUGGAAGAAGAAAAAGCUGAGAAAUAUGGAAAAGUAAGACUCUUCCUUCAAGAGCAAGAACACGCUAUGAAAUCUGGGCAAUUGGGAAAAGGCAGGAAGAGAAGGCGAUGAGCUUGAGACUCUCCUUGAAGGUUAAGGUAAUAAUAAAAAAAGGCAAUAAUAGCAGCAUUCUGAUUCCGUUCUUUUUUUCUUUCUUCCUAUUUGUAGUUUUGUAUAGUGCUUGGGAAACUCUCUCACACUCCCUCAUGCAGGUAUGUUCCCGUAGAUCAGAAGCCGGUCUUGUAUUGUGGAUGUGCUGCGCUGCCUUGCACAUAUUCCAGAUGAAGCCAAUUAUUUGGCGCAAAUUUUGUGCAACAUUAAUUUAUUUAUUAGGUGUGUUCAUCCUGAAAUAUUGCAUUAAAUUUUUGUUGUAACGAAUCGGUUGCGGGAUGAUUGAAAAUUUAUUUAAAAGCUUCUUGUGUUUAUAAACAUUUUGAUUCUCAGAAAUCUAAAGCAGUAACAGAAUAGGACGUGAUUUAUCCAUGGCGGUGAUUCGUACUCAGCUUUCAGAGUUUGUAAUUGUAACUACAUUCAGAGGUAAAAAGUAGAAACAAUUAAAACAAGGAAGCAGAAAGCUUAACCUCCAAGAUCAGAAGGGUUCCAUUAGCAUAUUAAUAGAUAGGGAAAUGCAUAAUAUUAGAAAUAGAUAGAUUUUUAAACUGCUACAACAGUUGAUUAUUCUUAUAUAGGUAGCCUCAAUCAGCUUCAAGUGUAAUAUCCUCUCCCACUAGCUGGCUCCUACCUACUUGCGCAGGUCUCUGAAAUAAGCAGAAGGGUUUCGCUCAAAAUCAUCCCUGAAGAUUCUGCUGUCUCUGCCGGGAGCUUUCAUCGUCCUCCUCUGCCCUGAACCUGAAAAAAGUCCAGACAAACCAUAACCCAGCACAGCCAGUCCUGCCACAGCAACAGCUGCAAUCACAAGGUUGGACACGUCAACCUCAUGAUUACACAAGUCAACAGCAUUCUCAUCUCUCUCCUUGUUGUUCCUAGAGCUAGAGCUUCCCCUGCUUUCAUUCGCUCCCAUUUUUGCAACUCAAAUAGUAGCUGGUUUUGUAACUUCUGGUUGGAGGGUGCAUGGCUAUGGCUAAUGGCUAAUGGCUAUGUUUAUAUAGAGAGGGAGCGUUCAUUGAUUUGUUUAUGGGAAUUUAAAGAGUCGCGUAAGAAUUAAUACAAGCAUUGGAAGUGCCAGAAUAUUGAUUGCUUUGUCCAUCAAACUCGACCUUCCAAUUUCCAAUUACCGCGAGGCGACAAGAGUGGUGCAUUGGAUUACGGGCUGUCUCAUUUUAAGGCAUGGAAAUUGAACGGCAUGCAUGGUUUGUCCUUUGUUUAUCAACGACGUAGGAGCAGCGGCGGGACCAUAAAUUUUUCAGCGGAGGUGCAAUUUAUUACUAUCAUCAUCAACACCAAUAGCUCAUUUUUAACAUACUCUAUAUAAGUAAUUAGGAGUGAGCAUCACAAAACACUAAGCAUAAAAAGAUAAUCACAACAAUAGGGGAUGUUGAGGAGAGGUAGUAUUGCCAUAUGUUUAUCAAAUUCUACCAUGUUGGUUGGCUGGUGCUGGCCACGGAGGCGGCUAAGAAGGAGGAGAGGGAGCACGAUAGCUAGGAAAUAAGCACCGGGGGUUCUUCCUAGCUUGGAAAAUCAAAUCUUGGAAGUUGAAUAUUUGUGAUAUUGCCCAAGCUUUAAAAUUGAAAUCAGCAGGCUUGAUAUUUGCUGAAAAUCUAACAGAAGGGGUCACCAAGAUCUUUAUGUUUACAAGAAGCUAAUACAAAUGGAGUGACCACCAUAUUUGACAAAGAUCCUACAUCUUGGAUUUCAGUAAAAUCAGAUACUCGGAUACACUACAUAUACAGAAGAGAUAGCUAUACUGCCUAGCCACAAAAAAAUGGGAGAAAUCUGGCAGACUAAAAGAUCGUAGAUUGACUGCAAAACAGAAAACUUCCAUCUCUGUCUUCGUACGAAUCAAAAUUAUCAACCCGUGUCCAUAUAAACGUGUUCCUUUUUUUAAAAAAAAAAAAAAAUUUUAAACCCUGGUCCAAAACGACAUCGUUUUGGCCAGGCUUUGUUAUAAACAAAAAAAACGCGUGCUGUGCAGCACCCAAGCCAUUUGCACAUUUCAUCGACCACCUUGUGUGCGUCUCUAGUCUAAGCAGAGGUGCAACUCCAGCAUUUCUUAUGGAGUUUUCCGGCAAGCGGAGGUGUAGGUACACCUCCUUGCACCUGCAAAGAUCCGCCACUACAUAAGAAAAUGCAAGCAACUUUUUUUCUAACCUUCGUUUUUGAAUUUUCUUUCUUUCUCUUGAUAACAUGUGUAUGUUAUCAAUUCUUUGUCACAUAAAAGAAUGUCAUUAAUUACAUUAGCGUUUAUACAAAUUUUUGGCUCUCUUUGGAGUAUACAUUUCUCCCCUCAUUUUCACUCUUAAUUCUCAAGUAAAAUUAAAAAGAAAUAAAAACAAAAAUUAAAUGAAAAUCAAACUAGCCAGCAACAAUUUCCAACUCUCACAGCCACGCAUCUUACCCAACUUGACGGCAACCCUCCCUCCUCACCGCCAGUAACGUCGAUUACCCAUGCUCCAAACUAAUCUAAUUCCACCAACUCAACAUAAUCUUUUUAAAAUAAGAAAACUUGCAUAUUGAAGACCUCAUCAAGAUGAUAAAUGGAAAAUUAAAGGAUGAUAAUUUUUAUUGGGAUAUUUGGGGUUUUGAUUUGGAAUGAAUUGAAGGUGUGAUGUCAGAUGAGAUAUGGGUCUGCUGCUCAUGGAUUGAAGGCCCGCCUUCUCUCAUCUCAUGGUUCACCAUGCCGCCAAGUCGCAAGGGAAGUUGAUGAUCACAUGUUGAGAGAGAGAGAGAGAGAGAGAGAGAGAGAGAGAGAGAGAGAGUUGACAUUUGGCUGGCGGUGAGGAAAGGGAGGUUGCCAUCGGGUAGGGGCUGGUGGGUGGAUGGGAGGGGUUGGGUCUGCUUGCUGGGUUGUUUGUUUUUCAUUUUAUUUUUUGUUUUUGUUUUUAAUUUGGACUUAACAAUGUCAAGUGUCAAUACUAGGGGUGAAAAUUGGAUUGGAAAAUUCGAUUCCGACCAAUUCCGUUUAAAAAUUUUCAAAAAAAAUCGAAUUCCGAUACAUCAAAUAUCUGAAAGUGCCAAAAUCUGAAAUUUCCAAUAAAAUUUGGAUUGAAAUUAGAAUUUAUCUGUAAAUUCCAAAAUUUCAAUCCUAAAAUUUCCAAAGUUAUCCAAACCCAUUCCAAUCCAAUUUUUUCGGUAAAAUUCCAAAAUUAUAAUAAUAUUGUAUGAUUUAUAAUUUUAAUUGCAUUAUUUUUAGUUUAUAAGUUCUAUAUAUGUUUCAUUUCUUACUUGUUAUAUUUAAGUACCCACAUACAAAUAUUCAUAUAUAUAUAUAAAAUAUGGGAGUAUAUAUUACUUUAAGAUGAUGUAUGCGUCUAUAUAAAACACACAUACAUGUAUACAUAAGAAAUAUACACAUGCCUAUAUAAACUAAAGAUUUAUUAUAAAUACAUAUAUGUGCGUACGUAUAGGAGUAUAUAUUACUUAAAAUGAUGUAUUUUUUGCUAAUAUAAGUUGUUUUGAAUAUAACAAAUUUUUAUAUAUAUGGUUAUUAUAUCCAAACAUACUAUAUAACCAAAAUGCAUAUGUGUGUUUAUUACUUAUGAAUCAUGAUAUGAGUAUAUAACUUUAAGACUACAUAUUUUUGACAAAUAUGCUUGUUCGAAUAUACCAAAAAUGAAUAUGUGUGCUUGUUAUAUCCAAAGAUAGGAAGUAUAAUUUGUAUUCUAUGUAUGUGUGUAUUUUUUGUACUUUUAAACUAUCUUCAUUUAAACAUUCAAUUAUAUAAAAUCAAUUUUAUACAUGAAACACCACAUAUAAAAUAAGUAUAUUUAAUGGGGCUUGACAAUUGCAGUUUUUCAAUUGUCUAGAGCAAGACUUAACACUUUUUUAAGAAUGAACAAAUAUACAUAUCAAAAACUAUUUUUCCAUUAAUUUUCCAUUAACAAAUACCACGUGAAGUACUUUCAUUUUGCUUUGGAUGUAUGUGUGUAUCUUUUUUGUUACAAUGUAUGUGUAUACAUAAAACAUUUCCCAAGUUAUAUUUAUAUAAACCAAGAUUAAACAUACAUUUAAUUAUAUAAGAAGUAAAAAAUAAAAAUAGUAUAUCUCUCUCUCUCUCUCUCUCUCUCUCUCUCUCUUUUUGUCUUUUUCCUUCUUAUUCUUCCUCUCUGUCUGUCUCACUCUCUCCCUCUGUCAUUUUUUUCCCCUUCUUCGUCUUCCUCUUCUUUCUCUCCGUCAGUCUGUCUCUCCCUCUUUCCUUCUUCUUCUCUCCAUCUCUCUCUUACGCUGGUGGUGAUGGUGGUCUGAUUGGGUUGUGGUGGUUUGAUUGGAUAUAGGUGGUAUUGAUGUUAGGGUCAAUUGAGUGUUGCCAUCCGUGAUGCUGUGGCUUUUGGAGUUUUUUCAUGAGUGGUGGCAGUCCCAUAUCGACUGCAAACAUAACUUCAGCUCUUUCAUGCUCUAUAAAUAUCUUCACAUCAGCAACAUUUCAUGAAGACAUAAGGCUAGCCUGAUAUUGUACGCGGGCCUGAAUGUCAAAAUCAGUUUGGGUUUUUUUUUUUAAUUUCGCUAAUUUGGGCUUUUAACAAAAUGUCCAGUUGAGAUGUUUGCUAAAUGCGUAGUUGAGCAUAAAAAUCAUUAACACUAAUGUUAUCCGAAUUUUUUUCGAUUUUUCCGACAUAUCCGAAUUUUGAAUUCUGAAUAUUUUAGGAACACUGGUUUCUGAUCCGUUUUAGCCGAUUUACACCCAUAGUCAAUACAUUUAAGGCUAAGAGCAUUCACAAUAGGAGGGUGUAUAAGGGGAUGUAUGUUAAAUAUACACCUUUUGUCGCCAGAAUCGUCUCCAAUUGGAAGAUGUAAAUGGUUGUAAAAAUACACCCCCACCAUGGAGAUGUAAAAUUAAAUGCACAUUUGCAUCUUUUUUUACAUCCUUUGCAGGCCGAACCCACAAGAGAAAAAGGGGAAGAGAAGGAUUUGAAUUCAAAAUGGAAGGCCUAGAUUUCAUGCAAUUUGCAUUGCAGUUCCACGGGCUCAGAUUUCUACAUAGAUAUUUUUAUGUUAGCUUGUAGGUAAAAUCAUAUGUUCUCCAAAUUUAAAUUUUUUUAGGUCCAUUUAUUUGGAAAAAUAAAAUAAAUCUAACACGCACAAAAUUAAUUUUAAAAAGUUAAAACAUACAAAAAAAAAACACAAAAAAGAAUUAUCACAAACAAAUCGCAUAUGCAUAUUUGAAUUUACAUUGUUUUCCAUUGGAGCAAAAAACGUAUUUACACCCCCUGGAGGUGUAAAGGGGAUGUAAAAGUGGCUGCUCUAAGGGUAAACUUUGAAAACAAAAGAUAAGUUGCCUCAUACAUUAAUUCUCAGAUUGGGUGAAAUAAUAUUUUCAUUGAUAUUUUAAUGUACAACAAUAGGAAGAAUAUAUAUACAGAGCAUAGGAAACUAUUCUAGGAAUAUAAUUAUGAGCCUAUAAUCUUGUAGAAUCAAAUAGUUGACUUAGACUAAUUAGGAAUGUACAGCUCAUUUGACACUCCCCUUUAAGUUGGAGCAUGUAUGUCGUCAAUGCUUAACUUGCUAAGUGAGUUGUGAAAUACUUUGCAUGUGACUGCUUUGGUGAAGAUAUCUGCAAGUUGAUCUUCGGAUUUAGCAAAUGGUACCUCAAUGAUCUUUGCCUCGAGUUUCUCCUUGAUGAAAUAUAUGUCAAUUUCAACAUGCUUGGUUCUAUCAUGUUGCAUUGGAUUAUGUGCUAUGUCUAUUGCGGUUUUGUUGUCAUAAUUGAGUUGCAUGACAUGUUUGGGUUUGAACCUCAAUUCUCCCAACAAAUUCCUUAUCCAGAGUAGCUCACAUACUCCAUGUGCCAUACCUCGAUAUUCUGCUUCAGUACUUGAUAUUGACACCUCUUUCUAUUUUUUACUUCGCCAAGAGACUAGAUUGCCUCUCACAAAGGUAAAGUAUCAAGAAGUAAAUCAUUUGUCAUUUAACAAAACUCGCCCAGUCUGCAUUAGUGCGACCCUCAACAUCUCGAUGGCUAUGUUGUGAGAAUAUAAAUUCUCUUCCAGGAGCUGACUUCAAGUAUCUCAGAAUUCAGUUUACAGCAUCCAUAUAGGCUUCACUUGGUGCAUGCAUAAACUAACUCACCAUACUUAUGACAUAUGUUAUAUCAGGUAUAGUGUGUCCUAGAUAGAUUAAUUUACCCAUAAGGCAUUGAUAUCUUUCUUUGUUGGUGGGUACCUGAUUAGGAUAUUCACCAAGCUGUUGAUUCAACUCUAUUGGAGUAUCCGCUGGUUUACUGGCUAACAUUCCAGUGUCAGUCAAAAUGUCAAGGAUAUAUUUCCGUUGUGAUAAAAAUAUUUCUUGUUCUGAACGAGCCACUUCAAUGCCUAAGAAAUACUUCAGAGCACCAAGAUCUUUCAUUUCAAACUCACUUGCCAAGUGGCGUUGUAAUGCUGUCUUUUCCUCUAGGUCAUUCCUGGUAAUUACCAUGUCAUCAACAUAUACAAUAAGAGCAGUGACUUUACCUUUCUUAUGUUUCAAAAAAAGAGUAGAUAUGAGUUACUUUGCUUGUAUCUGAAAUUCUUUAUUGAUUUGCUGAACCUUCCAAACCAUGCUCUGAGUGAUUGCUUCAAUCCAUAAAGAGACUUUCUCAGUUUACACACCAUGUUGCCCAUAUUGGACCCCAUCUUGCAUCCUGGAAGGGAAUCCAUAUAGACUUCUUAUUCUAGGUCACUAUGUAGGAAUUAUUUUUUAGCAUUUAACUUGUAUAAUGGCCAGUCCAGGUUUGCUGCUAAAGAAAGAAGUACCCAAAUUGUGUUGAUUUUGGCUACAGGGGCAAAGGUCUUCCUAUAGUCAAUCCCAUAAGUAUGAGUGUAACCCUUCGCCACUAGUGUAUCAUUCAAUGAUGUCAUCUGCCUUGAACUUUACCAUAUGUAUCCAUCUACAGCCUAUUGUUAUCUUCCCUUUAGGAAUGAUAGUCAUCUCCCAAGUCGAAUUCUUCUGGAGGGUUUCUAUUUAAUCAUUCAUUGCUUGAAUCCACUUGGGAUCUUUCAGAUCUUCAUGCACAUUACUUGGAAUAGAUACAGUAGAUAAUUGACAUACAGAUGACGCACAUGAUGGAGGCAGCCUAUGUAAAGACACAUGAUUAGCAAUAGGGUAUUAACUUUUACUUUAGGAUUAGGGGCAUAUUAUUUUCUAGGGACCCUUCUAGUUGUAUGGGGGGUGGUGGGUUUAACUGAUAACCUGUGUUUCCUGUAUGACUCGACUCAGGUAAAGUGUUUGAGUUGGAGUUUGAAUGUUCAGUUACUUGUGGAGAAUCUUCAGGACCUGGUUGGAUGAGUGGUGAUGGUACUGUAGUAGGAGUUGUAGGGGGAAAGUAUCUGAACCAUUAUCUGGAGUCUCCAGCCCUUGCGACUCUUGAUCUUGUUGCACUACUGUAGUUGGCAGCUUGAACAUUGGUUUUCUAAAAUAAUUUGUUGAAUUUGGAUGAUUUGAUUAUGAGUAUCUUAUGUAAAAAUAUAGCUCUCCCCCUGCACAGGAUGCUCAGAAACUUCUCAUGACUAACAUAACUCACUCUUGUGGAAAGUCACAUAUGUUGUAACGUACAAUGUCUGAGUGUGAGGAUGAAAACACUUAUAGCCCUUUUGAGUGUCAACAUACCCCACAAAGACACAAUGUAGUGUGCACAGAUCAAGCUUGCCACGCUGAUGUGGAUAUACUCGAACAUAAACAACACAACCAAAGAAAUGUGGUUUGAGAUUUGGUGUGGACGGUAUGGCGAAGAGAGUGGUCAAUGUCUGAAAUGGAGUUUGAUACUGAAGAGUGCUGGAUGAUGUUCUAUUUAUGAGGUAAGCAGCAGAACAAAGAGCCUUUUCCUAAAAAUAAUGGGGCAUACGAGCCUCAAAUAAAAGCGCAUGAACAACUUCCAAAAGAUGACGAUUCUUACGCUCUGCGACACCUUUCUGUUGUAGUGUAUAGACACAUGUGGUUUGAUGAACAAUACUAUGUUGGCUUAAAAAAAUUAUGUAAGUCAUGGUUGACAUACUCUCCUCCAUUGUUAGACUGAAUUGUUGUGAUUUUCUUGUCAAACUGAGUAGCAAUAUAUUGAUGAAAUUUCUUGAAUUUUGCAAUGACUUCACUUUUAUGCUUUAGGAGAAAAACCCAGAUCAUCUGGGUGCAAUCAUCAAUAAACGUCACAAGCCACUUAAAACCACUAAUAGUGGGGACUCUGGAUGGUCUCCGAACAUCAGAGUGGACAAUCAUGAAAGGCAUAGAACUUUUAUUCAAUCUUAAUAGGUAAGAAAUAUGAUGGAUUUUCGCCAAAAUGCAAGUUUCACAAUGAAAUUAUGAUUCAGCAAACUGGGAAAAUAAAUAUAGAAAUAAAAGUUUCAGAUAACCAAACGAAGCAUGCCCUAAUUGUCUAUGCCAUAGUCACAUUUUCUUCAUCCUCAUGGACUCGUCUCCUCGCACAUGAUGUGCAUGACUUGAUGCCAUAGAGAAUAAUUAUUCUCAUCCAAUUUGAUUCCUAUCGAAGUUGGAGGUGUCACUCUACAAAGUAACGAUUUGUGUGGUAGUGUUGGAGCCUCUCGACACCAAGGAUUGAUUGGUGUUUGCUGAUCCAUCAUCGUUGGCCAUGAUAUUGGUUUGUAAGUGAUGAGAAAAAAGACAAAAAAAAAAACAAACAAACGUUGGGCUGAGGGGAAAAGCAAAGAGAAUGGUGGAAAGUGAUUUGCAAAGGACGAGAAUAAAACAAAAAAGUGAUUUGACAUUGAAUUGGUUUGUGAGAUGGAAUAUGGGCUGGUGCUGGGUUUUUAUACUUGUUGAAUGAUGUGAACAAUGAUAUGAAUGUUUGGAGAGAAGGUUAGUGUUGGGUUUGUAUGACGGUUGCUGCUGCGGAAGUGAUUGUUAGGGUUAGGCCAAGCGACAGUCAUGAUCAACUGCUCUUAUACCAUCUUAGAUUGGGUGAAAUAAUAUUUCAUUGAUAUUCUAAUAUACAACAAUAGGCAGAAUAUAUUACAUACCCUAGGAAACUAUUAUAGGAAUGCAAUUAUGAGCUUAUAAUCUUGGAGAAUCAAAUAAUUGACUUAGACGAAUUAGGAAUGUACAAUUCAUUUGACAUUAAUUAGAUUGUUUUAAGUGUAACAAAAGUGACACAUGUCAUUAGAAAAAUAGAGAUGGUUAGAAAGAAGAUUGCUAGCAUUACCCAACGAGAGAUUACCUCUUCAUGAAACAUUAGAAACGAGCCCACGCAACCGGAGCUAAGCCCAAGUGACAGCCCACGCAAAGACGAAAUCCUAUAGUGCAACAUCUCUUCAUAAAACGGUACCAUAGGAACUUGAACUGAUAGCCAUUUAGGAGCACAUCAAAUACCCGAGCUAAUUCAACUAACAUCCCAUUAGUUUUUUUUAGCGGAGCUUUGCUCAAUGAUUUCCUGUUAAGUUGAAAUUUUUUAUAAACAGGGUGAUAAAGAGAGUUUUGCGAAUUUAAUUUAAUAAUAUAUUAAGUAGGCCGUAAUUUGAAGCGCACAAUCAGAAGCCGACACGGGUAAGUUGUAAGUUGUAGGGUCCAAGUGGCCUUUUAAUAAUUCGUUUUAAGAACUCAGAGCAAGAAUAUACUUCCAUAACUGUAGACUCUUUAAAUCCCCACAGGUUCAGAGAAAGACAAUACCAAAAGAUGACUUCUUUGGGAGGCCUAGUAAUCAUUGUUUCAAGCUUUCUGUGUCUGCUCCUUGUCUUAGUUCUCAUCAAGAUCCUUUACAAGCUAUGGUUAGCUCCGGCUCGCUUGCAGAAGCUGAUGGCCUUGCAGGGCAUCAAAGGCCCUCCUUACAGACUUAUCCAUGGCAACACCAAGGACAUCUCCAACAUGAUCAAGGAAGCCAUGAGCAAGCCUAAGAGUUUGAGUUCGUCCCACGACAUACUUUCUGUAGUUCAACCUCACGUUCACUCAUGGACCAAGAUAUAUGGUAACAAACAAAACGGUCUUAAUUACUUAAACUAUUGUUUUGAAAUCUGAGUUCCAAGUUAAAUUUUGGUCAUAUUUAUUUAUCAACAGGGAAGAACUAUCUUCAGUGGCAUGGUUCUGAGGCUCAAUUGGUCAUCACGGAGCCUGAGUUAUGCAAAGAGAUACUGAAUAACAAAGACAAAGCUUAUCCCAAAAGAGUGCCCGAAAGCUUUGUGAAGAAGCUCUUAGGAGAUGGACUUGUGACAACAGCAGAAGGUGAAAAAUGGGCAAAAAUGCGAAGGCUCGCUACCCACGCCUUCCAUGGAGAGAGCUUAAAAGUAAGUUUUUAGAGUUUCUGGUAAUUCCUUAGAAUCAAUUAAUUGAAGACUAAGUUUGCUAAUUGACUGCAUGAUGGUGUUGUUUUGCUAGAGUAUGAUUCCAGCAAUGGUAGCCAGUGCAGAGACAAUGCUAGAGAGGUGGAAAAAUUAUGAAGGGAAAGAGAUUGAGGUGUUUGAAGAGUUUAGGUUUUUCACUUCAGAAGUGAUUUCUAGAACAGCAUUUGGCAGCAGCUAUAUAGAAGGACAACACAUUUUUGAGAUGUUGAUGAAAUUAGGCUUCCUGUUAACCAAAAAUUCUUUCACAAUAAGGGUUCCUGGCAUCAGGUAAACUUCCUUACAACUAAAUCUGAAUGUGGGGAUAGCCAUAUAAUCUCUUUUUUGUUUAUAUUUGCAUUGAUUGGCUGAUUUAUUGAUCAACGAGGCUUGUUAUGCAGAGAACCAAUCUUCUCUAUUAUCUUUGUAUUGUUCUCAUGUGUGUUCUUUCAUUCAAUGUUGCAGUAAGCUUUUCAAAACUGGCGACGAGAUCGAAUCAGAGAAACUUGAAAAAGAUGUACGUGCCUCCAUAUUAGAGAUUGUCAGGAAAAGAGAAGAGAAGGUGAUGACUGGAGGAGAAGACAGCUUUGGGAGUGACUUUCUUGGAUUACUUGUGAAGGCUCAUCAUGAUGCCAAUGACAGCCAGAGGAUUUCAGUGGAUGAUUUAAUUGAUGAUUGCAAGACGUUUUACGUCGCUGGACAAGAAACUACUAAUUCUUUGCUUGCUUGGACUGUCUUUCUUUUGGCACACCACACGGAUUGGCAAGAGGAAACAAGAAAAGAGGUCAUACAAAUGUUUGGCAAACAAACUCCAAACCCUGAUGGCAUUGCCAAACUGAAAACAGUAAGAAAGUCAAGAACUCAAUCAUUAGCUUGUUCUAAGUGGCAGAAACAUGUACUCAAUUAAGAUUCAAAACCUGAUUUGUUUUUGUUUUUGUUUUUUUUGUUUCGUUUGGAUGCAGAUGAGUAUGGUGAUCAAUGAGUGUCUAAGGUUAUAUUCCCCUGUUGGUACUCUGUUAAGGAAAGCUGAAAGGGAAGUUAAACUAGGAAAGCUGACUGUUCCUGCUAAUGUUGAGUUGGUAAUGUCAUGCCUAUCACUUCACCAUGAUCCUCUAAUCUGGGGACAAGACGCGCAAAUUUUCAAACCAGAGCGAUUCGCAGAAGGGGUUGCUAAAGCGAGUAACAAUAACGCAGGCGCUUUCCUACCCUUCGGAGUAGGACCUCGAACUUGUGUGGGAUUGAACUUUGCGACCAUUGAAGCAAAGAUUGCGCUGUCGAUGGUUCUACAACGCUACUCCUUCACCCUCUCCCCGGGCUAUGUCCACUUGCCCUUUCAGCUAGUAACAAAUCGCCCCCUCCGUGGAGUUCAAGUAAUGCUACAUUCACUUUGAUAAGUAUCCAGAACACAGACAUCAUGCAGUCAUGAAGUGAGUUGAUAAACUCGCUGUAUUAUUAGUCAAUUAUCAUUUCAACUUUUCCUAGCUACUGUUGCCUCAUGUUUGGCAGUAUUAUGAGUUGAAAAUACAGUAAUUUAUUUCUUUUUGUUUGGUUUGGGAGAAAGAAUCUUAUUAGAUCUUAAAGCAUCCAUCCAGAAAAAGGUAAUAUCUUAGAAUAUGCCAAUAUUAUAGACGUCUGAUGAUGGACAAUAUAAUAUAAUAUAAUAUGAAAGUGAUCAUUUAACUGCUGCAAUAGAAAUACUUAAGAAACUGAUCAUGGGACAUUUUCAGUUUCAGUGCAUCAUCCAUAACAAAUUAAGAAAUGACAGAAACCUUAACCACAACAUGUAAUCGCAAUUAAUCCAAAACCGAAGAUCAUUCGGGUAACGUAAUUUCAUUAACAUAAAAUAGGGACAACAAUUGAUGAAGGAAGAUUAACAAAAAGCAAGGAUAUAGAACACUACUACUCUGUAUUCAUUAACAUAAUUAUUAUAAUAUCCCUUUCUCCAGGUUAAGUCGAGCAUUUUCCAACACAAGAGAAGAUCAUUUGAUAAUAGAAUAGAAUGCCGUUUUUAGAGAGAGUGUCAAAUUGUUAAGCAUACGCUUUGUCGUUGGAACUGGAUAUGAGCCCAUAUGCUAUCUUUUUAAACGCGAAGCCUAACAUGAAGCCCAAUUUGGCAAUACAGGGAUGGCCUUUAGGUCCAUGUGUGUGACCAUUGUGAAUUUGUGAUGUGAAUUUUAAAAAAUGAAGAAAAAAAUACAUGUCAUUGUCUAGGAAUUCAAAUCCUCUUUUGCUUCUCUGUCUAUACAGUUCAGUCUCCCAUUUGGCAUAGUCUAAAUUGAACUCUAUCUCUAUGCGUGUGCGUCAGCGCCAUUAUUUAUUUGAUACUCAAGGAAGUUUAAGGUUUUACUUUAUGUGUGUUGAACUUUUAAGCUUAAUACGUAAACAACAUAAAUUAGGUUAUUUAUUUGAUAUUCGAGGAAGCUUAAGGUUCCACUUUACGUGUGGCGAACUUUCAAACUUAAUAUGUAAAUAACACAAAUUAAGUGACGUGAGAGCACAUUUGACCGUUUGGCCCAACAUUUUCAUAGGGUUCAUCUUUAUUUGUAUCAUGUGAUGCCUAGGUCAUAAUAUGUUUCACAAAGGAGCCGCUUUUUCUGGUCUUUGGAAAUUCACAAAAGCCACUUAUUACAAUCUUAUCCAUCCAAGACAGCUAAUCACAGAAAGUGGUGGACAUAAUUUGCCAUGCCUGCCAGUGCCAGCUGCUAGUAAGAAACAGAUGAUUAUGAACUGUCUUAUCUCUCUCUAUCUAUAUAUAGAAAGUUGUAAAGAUGAGAGGUUGUUCACUGCUACUUUCCAAAGCAGAAUUUCCAUAGGGAAGCUAUAGUCUCUCUGUUAAGCUGAGAAAAGUCAUGAAAGAGAACGACGUGUGGUGAUAAAGAGAAAGUUUUGCAAGAUUAGUAAUAAGGUAAUGUCAUUGGUGACGAAGCCGGGAGAUAAUUCCAACAUGAAGUCACUAACCAUGAUGUAUCAAAAGUCGACAAAUGGCAGCUUAAGGUUUCAAGGAGAGUCACUUUACCAUGAUAUUCAUAUUUGCCAUCUGGAUUUUAGUAAAUAGCAGGACGGCUAAGUAACAAUCAAAAGCUAACACAACCAUGAUUUAAAACUGGUUUUUUCUUUACUUUUGCUAAACAAUCAGGAGCAAGAAAAGUUUUAAAAACUCAAUCUUUUUUUUUUGGUCAAGACCUUUAAAAACUCAGUAGAGAAAAAGAAAGAGAUAGAGAUAGAGAUAAGAUAGGCAAAGAGAAAACAAUACCAAAAAAAAUGACUAGUUUGGGAGGCCUAAUAGUCAUUCUUUCUAGCUUUCUGUGUCUGCUCCUUGUCUUAGCUUUCAUCAAGAUCCUUCACAAACUAUGGUGGACUCCGAUUCGCAUACAGAAGCUGAUGGCUUUGCAGGGGAUCAAAGGCCCUUCUUACAGAUUCAUCCAUGGAAACACCAAAGAAAUCUCCAACAUGAAAAAGGAAGUCAUGGGCAGGCCCCAACUUUUAUCACACGACAUACUUUCUGUAGUUCAACCUCACAUUCACUCGUGGACCAAGAUUUAUGGUAACAAACAAAAACAAGCCAUCUCAAUUAGUUAACUAUUGUUAUUUAAAUCUUAGUUCUAAACAAGAUAAGUUUUGGUAAUUUUUGCAUGCAAUUACAGGGAAGAAUUAUCUUCAAUGGCAUGGUUGUCGGGCUCAGUUGGUCAUUACAGAACCUGAGUUGUGCAAAGAGAUACUGAAUAACAAAGACAGAGCUUAUCAGAAAAGAGAGCCCACAAACAUUGCAAAGAAGCUAUUGGGAGAUGGCCUUGUGGUGACAACCGAAGCUGAAAAAUGGGCAAAACUGCGAAAGCUGGCCACCCAUGCCUUCCAUGGAGAGAGUUUAAAAGUAAGUUUUUUAAAGUUACUGAUACUUUGUUGCAAAGAGUAUUAUAGUAAUAGCUGUGUCAACUAUCUAAACACGAAAAUAAUAAAUUGAAGGGAAAAGUCUGCUAAUAGCAUGUUGGUAUUAUUGUUUUACUAGAGCAUGAUUCCAGAAAUGGUAGCUAGUGCCGAAUCGAUGCUAGAAAGGUGGACAGUUUAUGAAGGAAAAGAGAUUGAGGUGUAUGAAGAGUUUAGAUUGUUCACAUCGGAAGUGAUUUCCAGAACAGCAUUUGGCAGCAGCUAUGUAGAGGGACAAGACAUUUUUGAGAUAUUGAUGAAGUUAGGCUUCCUAAUAUUUAAAAAUUUUCUCAAAGUCAGGGUUCCUGGAAUCAGGUAACUUUUAAUACUCCAAUUGAAGAGAAGAAAAUUAUUUUGGAGAGUUACUUAUGUUCUCAUUUUUAGUCUUUCAUUUAAUGUUGCAGCAAGUUUUUCAAAACCAGCGAUGAGAUUGAAUCAGAAAAACUUGAGAAAGGAAUUCAUGCCUCCAUAAUAGAGAUGGUUAAGAAAAGAGAAAAGAAGACAAUGGGUGGAGAAAAGGACAGCUUUGGGAGUGAUUUUCUCGGAUUACUUUUGAAGGCUAAUCAUGAAGCCAAUGAGAACCAGAGGAUUUCGGUGCAGGAGAUAAUUGAUGAGUGCAAGACGUUUUACUUUGCCGGACAAGAAACCACUAAUACUUUGCUUGCUUGGACUGUCUUUCUUCUGGCACUCCAUACGGAUUGGCAAGAGGAAGCAAGAAAGGAGGUGCUACAAUUAUUUGGCAAACAAACUCCAAAUCUUGAUGGCAUUGGCAAACUGAAAACAGUAAGAAACUUGUCUAGGUGGUAGAAACAUGUUCUCAAUAAAGUUUGAGAUCCUGAUUCGGUUAUCUAUUUUUCAUUUUGAUGCAGAUGAGUAUGAUCAUCAAUGAGGCUCUAAGGUUAUACCCCCCUGCUGUUUCGGUUAUAAGGAACGUCGAAAGGGAAGUAAGACUAGGAAAGCUGAUUGUUCCUAGUAAUCUUGAUGUGGUUGUCUCAAUCGUAGCAGUUCACCAUGAUCCUCAAAUUUGGGGACAAGACGUGCAACUUUUCAAACCAGAGAGAUUCUCAGAAGGAGUUGCUAAAGCAACUAACAACAACAUAGGCGCAUUCUUACCCUUUUCAAUGGGACCUCGAACUUGCGUGGGCUUGAACUUUGCGAUCACUGAAGCAAAGAUUGCUCUGUCAAUGAUUCUACAACGCUAUGCCUUCACCCUUUCCCCGGGUUAUGUCCACUUGCCCUUACAUUAUCUUACAGUUCGGCCACAACAUGGAGUUCAGGUAAUGCUGCAUUCACUUUGAAGUUGUACUGCCCAAGUAGACAUAAGUCCAUGUUGUGCCUUGCACUUUGAGACAAGACGAGCUUAUUUGUCAACUGUCCCUUCAAUUCUAAUUAAGAAGAAAAGGAUGUUAUUGAAGUCAAUGCAUUUCCCAACAACAAUUGUACAAUAAACAAAGCUUGAACUUCAUGGAAGCAUGAAUUUGAUUGAAAAGGAUGGUUUCUCAAGACAUUGAAAUUUAAUGAGAAUAAUUGAUAGCUGUGAUAGCCUAUGUUAACCUUCUUAUUGACUGUUGCAUCAGCUUUUGUUAACCUUCUUAUCACACAGUCAGGAUUCCUGGCAUCAGGUAACUUUCUUUUAACUAAAUCUCAACUUGGGAAUCACAUGGAUACCCAUUUUUAUAUGUGUUCAUUCCACUUGAAGAGAAGAAGUAUCCAUCUAACUUGGGCGGGUCUGACCCAAAAAAAUAGCCAUUUUGGAAUCUCCAAGGUCAGGGACGAGAUUUUGGGGUGGCGAGCACUGCUAUGAGAGAGAGAGAGAGAGAGAGAGAUGAGGAUGAGAGGAGGAGAGGUCGCGGGUUAUUUAUAUGUUGAUGGAAAAAACAAAAGGAGAGAUGGGCUUUCAAUCGGGCCUGGGCUUAAAACUCUAAUAAAACCAAAUGCCCUAUUUUGAUGGGGAUUAGACCUUAGAAAAUACAACAUUAAAUGGAUUUUGUAUUAUGAAAUCACUAAAGCAAUCACUAAUAAAUAACAAAAAACAAAUAAAUAUUAUACUAUUUGUUUAAUAAAUAUGUAUUAUGGUUGUAUUUUAUAAUUUAUAUAUCGUUUUAUUAUGCAUAAUUUUGGUAUAAAUUAAGAGUAGUGAUUUUCCCACUCAAAUUUUAUCUACUUACACUCUUUUUUAAUAAUUUAUAAAAUUAAAUAAUAAAUAAAUAAAAGAAAUAGGCCUUGAUUACUCCCCUAGUGCUAGGUUUUUUUCUUCAUAUACAAGUUGGUGUGUUUUCAGAUAAGGUCAAAAUUGACAGUAGUAUUUUAUUAUACCACCCAAUUUAUUAUUACAGUAAAGUAGCGUUUGGUAGUGCUUAAAUUUUAAAAAAAGCGACUUUAAUAAAAAUUUUGCAACAUUAUGGCGUUUGGUAAACAUCAAGAAGAAGCUUUAAAAAAAAACAUUACAUAUAUUAUAUGGGGUUUGGUAAAAUUUCAUGUGAUUCAGUAAACAGAAUAUAAACUCCAUCAUUGCUAACUUUUCGUUUUGAUAUUCUAUACAAAAUUGCGUAAGUCUAAGUAGAAUUUAUCAAUUCCAUUCCAUCUGAAAUUUAGGUUUUAGCAACAAAAAACUUUCACUUUUGAAAAAAGCCAAAGUUUUUUUUAAAAAGACAGAAAAACUUAUCAAUUUUCAAAACAAAAACAUGCAAAUGUAAAGAAUUCCUUAGGAAAUCAAAAAAUAAAUACGGACAAUUUUGUCCAUUUUGAUUUCUUUCAAAAAAUUUCUCUUUCCUUUUGCCUUUUCCAAAGCCUCUCUAAAAAAAAAUUGCAGCUGUUUUUUUGAAAGCAGCAAUAACCCAGCUCUUAAAAGCUGCUUUAAAAAAAAUUUAACAGGUGGUUUUAAUGAAAUUUUGACUUUUCCAUAAUGCCCUCACUUAUUUUUCAAAUAGACAGUCCUUAUCCCUCCAAUACACAUCGAACGACGCAGACUCCUCUUCCUCCUCUGUUCUGCAAACUCCUCUUCUUCUUCAUUCUGUUCAUUCGCAACCCUCGCUCUUUCUGUUCGUUCUAACUCACAUCCCUUUUUCUAUUCGUCGUCUGCAACAAACCCCACCCAAGCGCCAACCACAACCACAACCUCAACCUCCGACCAUGGGCUGUAGAUGACGACGAUUACAGACGAGAACCGAUGGCAGACGACCACCGACGGCAGACAACGAGACUCCACAACAUGGACUAUAGACGACGAUGACGACUGUGCAAGGAGGACGACUUCUCUGGGCAGAGGGAGAAAAAUAGAACAAGGAGAAGAAGGAGUAGAGUAGAGAAUUUUUGAAAAAAAAAAUGUGAUGAGAGAGGAGAAGAAGAAGCAGGCGGUAGGAAGAAAGAGAAGAAGAUGAUGAAAAAGGAGGAGCGGCAGAAAGAGAUGCAGAGAUCUGGAAAGAAAAAAGGGGUUCCCCAAAAAAAAAAGAAAAAGGAGAUGCAGAGAGAGACGAAAAAGUUUGACCCAAAAAAAGUGUGAAUUAAAAAAAAGAGAAAAAUUAUGUAGCGUAAAGUUGUUGUUAAAAAAAAAAAAAAAAGAGUAGAAAAAGAACUAAGAAAACAACAAAUAAUUUCAUCAUGAUUCAUGUUUUUUUUUUUUGGUCAUUGUACACACCGAAAACACUUUUGAUAAAAAAUUACCAAACAUUUUGAUUACUGUUGUAAAUUAUAAGGUGGAGCCCACAUGUUGGAAGGCUUUGCCUACAAAAGGGUUCACACCCUUCCUUUGUAAAUACACAGAUGAGAAGAGAAAACAUUCAAUGAAAGUUCAGUUUCUAUACUUUCUCUCUAUCCCAAUUCUCUCUACAAUUUCCUCUAGAUUUAUAACACGUUAUCAGCACGAAUUCGCUUUCAAAUAUACCAACUGAAAUCUCUGAUGAAACCCAGAUUCUUUCCCCUACGUUCCUCCCUCUCUUGCCAUUUCUUCAGCUUUCCUUGUAUGUCUCCGUGUUAGAGAGACAGAGGGAGAUAAUAGAAAAUUGAAGCAGAGCAAUAAGCCACCAAGUCUCUGUCUUCCAUCAACUAUUGGCAGCUGAGACCAAAUCUCUCUCUCUCUCUCUCUCUCUCUCUCUCUCUCUCGUUUCAGAGAACAGAAACAAGACCAAGACACAAAACACACACAGAGAGCCAGCCAUGGACUCAGACGAAGGUAAGCUGUUCAUAGGAGGGCUGGCCUGGGACACCACAGAGGACAAGCUCACCGACUACUUCAACCAGUACGGUGACGUCACCCAAACCGUCAUCAUGCGCGACAAGACCACUGGCCGGCCCAGGGGCUUCGGCUUCGUUGUCUUCUCUGAUCCCUCCGUGCUCGAUAGGGUCCUCAACGAUAAGCACACCAUUAAUGGCCAAGGACGUUGAAGUUGCAGAGAGAGAGAGUUCAAUGUUCUGCUUCAUUCCAUGGCUCUUAACCUCUGUUGAAUGGAUGUCUUGGUGGGCCCCGCCUUCUUCAUCGGGGAUGGCCGCGGCCGUCUCUUCGUGAAGCAGAACGUGGAGGCGCUGCCGAGGUCCGAAGAGGCUUCCUCGGACAGCUCGUCCUUGAUCGGGGCUCCCGACGACAGCGAAGAAGACGAUUCCAAAGGAGAUGAUGGCGACGGCGACGAGGAGGAGGUGCAGAGCAAGUUUAACGGAGCUGGCCCCUGUUUCCCAUAGCACCUUGGCGCCGAGGAAGUCGUCUUCGAUGGUCUGGUUUCGGUCGAGCUUUGAGGAGGAGGACCCAAGUGAACUGCUCGGCGUUUUUUUUUGCCUCGAACUCAACCCGGUGACUCAGAGAGAGAGAUGGUAACAGCUCAACACGUCUUUGAUUUUGUGCAUGCCUCAAAUGGGUUUUCGUGGAUCAGUCCAAUGUAUGGAGGACUGGUAUUUCGUGGUCCAUCUUCUUCGUUUUAGCCAUUGGCGUGCCGCUUGUCUCACACUUUCUCCUCUCCUGCUCCGACUGCGAUGAAAAUCACAGCAGGCCUUACCAUAUAGUUUCUCAGUUAUCACUUUCUUUAUUCUCAGUGCUCAACAAAAGGAACAUCACGUGAGCUAGCACUAAGCCGCUAUAAUUGAGUAUGGGCACGCAAGAGGCUUCGAGAGCAGCACCAUAUCAGAAAGUGCUAAAGCCUGUUUUUGAGAACAGCAAACCCACCGAAAGAAAGAAAAAUAAAUAAAUUAAAAAAAAAAUAAUCCAAUAAGCUCUAUGCCCUUUAUGCUUUCUAUUACUUUAUUAUUUCUCUACAGUAUUUAAUAAACAAAUUGGUGCAGGUACAGUGGUAGCAGUGGAAAAAGGAGGGGCAUGGAUUCGCCUGGAACAUGCGUGAUAUUCCACUAAUAUAUCAGUAUAAUAAUAUUAUACUAUUUGAUCGUGGUGUUGAUAAGAACCCACCAAUAAUUGCCUUUACUUUAUAGCAAAUUUACUUUUACUUAAAGUAUGAUGUGGAAUUAACCCUCAUACUUUAUGAAAUUACUUUACUGCACAUUAUUUACUGUAUGGUGUAGGUUUAUUACCCAUACAACAGUAUCUAUUUAAAAGGGUGGUGCGGGUUUAUCGUCCACGCCUUUACUUUUAUUUAAAUGUAUGGAGCAGAAUUAGUGCCCAUACAAGCACGUUUACUUUAUCGCAAAUUUACUUUUACUUAAAGUAUGAUGUGGAAUUGACCCUCAUACUUUAUGAAAUUUACUUUAUGAAUUUACUUUAUCGCACAUUUAUUUAAAAGGGUGGUGCGGGUUUAUCGUCCACGCCUUUACUUUUAUUUAAAUGUAUGGAGCAGAAUUAAUGCCCAUACAAGCACCUUUACUUUAUGAAUUUAAUUUACCGCACAUUUACAUUUAUUUAAAGUGUGGUGCGGGUUUAUCGUCCAUACCAGUAAUUUAUUUACCAGCAAUUUAUUUUAUAGAUUAAUUGUGCUGUAUGAUGAGUUUUUACAGUAUGCAGAUCAGGACCAGAAGUUCCUUGAUCCUCAUCAUACAAUUACAUCAGGACUUGAAGAUCCUUGAUGAUGAUAAUAUGAGAGCUGGCAGUCUCUCCAGUACUGUAUUUGUAAACAUGUGAUUGGACUUGAGGGUCCUUGAUCCUUGACAUGUAAAUAAGGACCUGGGGUUCCUUAAUGAUGUAACAGUACCGUAUUGGUUCAUAAUGCCGUACACAUGGAUGAUAACUGUACUGGCAAAUGUACUGUACACAUGAAUAGAUACGUAUUCAUGACUUGAUGAAUAGUACUGGAUAUAUGAAUAGUGACGUAUACAUACAUAUUCACCAUUUUGGGUAAACCAUCACUAUUCAAAAAGGAACCUGUAGUUCCUUAAACUCAUGGAUGAGCAAUUAAAUGAGAUGCCAGAAGUCCCUCAAAAUAUGGACAAUUAUGUAAGGGCUUGAAGUCCAGAAAUAUGUACAGAAAAUUGUAAAAAUGUCCAUACCAUGAGAAUAUGUGAUUUUGGCCCGAAGUUCAAAAUCUAAGGGGAUUGAAUGUCCAUACCAUGAGAAUAUGUGAUUUUGGCCUGAAGUUCAAAAUCUAACAGUGUUGAGAACCUAAAGUUCCAACAGUUAAAUGGACAACCCUUGAGGUAUUAUUGCAAAUUGUGGUACACCACAUAUUUCUUUGGCAUAAGAAAAUGAUGAAUUUAAUAAAGUUCGAUUAUGUUGUAAUCAACAUCUCAAGGAAGAAAUAUAUUUUGUGAAUCCUGGUUGUUAAGAAUACACCGUGAAAUGGAUAAUAUCAAUAUAAACCUCAAAUGAUGAAUUGAGGCUCCCCACAUAUUUUGUUAUAUCUGGGCCGGAAGCACAUGGAUUCAAAUAUAUGAGAGAUCCUGAACUUGAAGUUGUGGGUAUAUAGUGGCUUUUACUCAAUUCAUAUUUCAUGUCCAUUUGGAAAGGGCAAAUAAAUUCUGAGUUUGUGUUUAGCCCAGGCCAAAGGUUCCGGGCUCCCAUACGUUGAAAUAUGAAAUUUGAGAGAGUCGAUGUGGUUAUUUGAACCUAUAAGGCACAAGGUUCCAAACCGUCAUUUUGAAAAGACGUAAAAACCACAGGUGCAAGUUUAAGAAUGUGCGCAAUUAUUAUAACAGGAACAUACAACAGAUAGAUUUUUUCCACCUGCAAUGAAGGUGCAGGCCCUGUAAAAUCUAUAAAAUUACAUUAUGUUCUGGAAGCCUCUGAAGGAAGAGGACGACGCCUCUUAAGCUUAGCCAUGAGCCUCUCGUGAUCUCCCAAAAUUCUUUCAUUAGAGACCUGCAGCAUGUCUAGCCUUCUCAGUGUAUCAACAGAGUACGAACUCACCAGUUUCAACAAGGCAUUAUUCUCUCCUUUAAGUUUCGCAACCUCCUGUUGAGACUCAUGAAGCAUUCUUUGGAGAGACGAAUUUUCAGUUGUUAACCUCUCAACCUCGUUUGCUCUGGCACGCAAACGAUCAGCCAUGUUAGAAACAGAAGCAGCACUCUGAAUGCUAAAAGCCAUUGAGUCAUCAAUAGCUUCUUCCUCAGAUCUCCCUGUCAACAACAUUUCAUCCAUUGGAAUAAUGAAAUUCCUAGCUACUAUGACAGCAGUAGCAUCAUUCAUCAUCACAGAAUCAUUAACUGUGAGAUGACGAUUUUGGGAUACAAAGAAUGGACGCCAAACUUUGGCAUCAUUGGUAGUUGUGGGAGCAUCAUUUAAAUUGAAAUAAUUUGGGCAGGAAGAAGAGGAAGCCAUUUUAAGAAGGUUUAGAAGAAAGUCUUAGAAAAACUAAAGUUUCAGAAAAUGAAGGAAGUUGAGUUGAAACGCAGUUGCUCCAAUCAAGUUUUGCAAAGGCAAUACCUAUAGGAGGAAAUAUGGCUACAGUUUCCAGGAUCCCAAUAUUAUCUCAGAUCCCCAUAUUCUCUUUUUCUUUUCCAGAUUCCAAAACUUCACGCGGCCUCCAUUAAUGUUUGUCGGCACUUUCGGCGUUUUCAAGUAUUAUUUUCGUCAAAGCCGAUCUUGCUUUACGGAUUUCACGGAGCUACUUUUUCAAAAGUAUCCCGAGAAUCUCGUAAUUUUCCUAUGGUUAAUUUGAAAUUCACCGGUUCUACCUAUUCAUUGUAUUUGUGUAUAAAUGUGUUACUAACGAAAUUUUCUUUGCAGAAGACAUCUAGUUUACUCCAUACCUAGUGAUGCGAUAUCUACUUAUUUUUCUUAUCAGUGAGCACUCAAUAUGCCCGAGAAGCAAGACUAUCUCUGAUCAUCCAUUCAGGAAGCAAGACUAUCCCUGAUCACGUUUCCGCUACAUCAGGAAACUGUGAAGGCGAUCUUAUGCUCUAAUCUCCGGAAGUCCUGCUAGACUAGGAGAUAUGAGAGCUUAUUGUCUGCUCCCACCAGCUUCCUUCUUUGAUUGCUUACCUUCUCUUGCAAUCAAUAUCACAUUAUUUUUGCAUUUUUUCUCUUUUUAUAACUCUCUGUUCAUAAGAGAUUUUAUUUCUUUAGAAUGAACAUCUGAAGAAAGAAUCCAUGAAGUGAUCCUAACUCUGAGGGUUAUUUGUUUUUGACAGAGAAAAUAGUUGUGAUUUUGCUCUUGCAGGAUAUAACUAGAUCAUCAAGCGCUACAUUAUAUUUACUGGGCUGAUACGAGCUUGAAUGAUACUUGAGAAAAGUUUCUCCCACCUAAGGAUGUAAGCAAUACUUGUGUUAUUUUAUGCUUAUAUACUUAUUUGAUAUUUUAUCUUGAAAGGUAACCAAAUGGGGAGAUAAGUCUGUUCCAAAAGAAUGGCUUGUAUGUAUUCAUGAAUUAUUAAUGCAAAUUUUACAGAUUGCAAGUUGGAUACAUUGAUAAUACACUGCACAGAUUAAAGUCCCAUAAGAACAGAAUAUGGGUAUAGCAGUGAUCAAUAUGAUGCACGCCUGUUGCGUAGCAAAUGAUGUGGAUUCAAGUCCCGAAAGGACAAUCCUUUGACAUGUCAAUAUUGAUAUUGUGCACGCCUAAUGCGUAGCAAAUUGUAUGGGUUAAAGUCCCAGAAAUUAAUUGACAUGUAUGUAUUAAUCUGUGGCAUGCCUGCAGCAUGACAGAUAUAUGGGUUCUAAAUGUUCCAACUCCCUAAAUAGAGAUUAUCCACGCCCUACUGUAAAAUAACGCUCCAUUGGAGGUUAUAAGCCACAUUCUCACAUAAUAAAAGCCCCAUGAAGUGGCUUGGGUACCCAAAAGCAAAGAAAUGCUUAUAAUUGAUGCAUGCACGUGCAAAUGAGAAUGAUGGGAUCAUGAAUUGAUGAAUGACAAUUUUUGGUUUUGGAGUAGCUACUCAAAUCAUCAAUGGGUUGUGUUGAUUGGAACCACGUUCAAUUAUUAAAUGUCGACAAUACCAUUGGCCAAAAUGGAAUGAGGUAAUUCCAUUAUAGAUGAGAAUGAACGUGAAAGAACAAACCCACAGUACGAACCCCAAAAGAUGUUAAUACUGAAAUUUAUACUUGGGUGUUCGGAAUAAAAGGGAAUAUACCUACUUUGUAUGACACAAUGUUUCUGGCAGAAACAAGGAAUGUUGGGUUUUCUCCAUAUUUACAAAUUCAAUUGUGCCUCCUUAUUGCACAUUUACGGAGACCAACAUGUUAUCUUUAAGGGCUAUUAAAUGCACAGAGCAUAUCACCAGUAGUGAUUCCCUAAAGAUGUAUAAAUAGCUGGGUUAAAGCUAUAUAAUGUAUCAUAAAGUUUAAUCCCCUUAAACAAAAUCCUUGAAAGGAUUGAAAUUGCAUGAAGCAAGUCCCUGAAGGACAUGUGCCUGAAGCACAAAAUCUGUACUCAAUACUAAUGUGUAUAAAUUGCCUCAGUGAGUACAUUGAUUAUAAUAUGUUUGCAACGUAUUGAAACUCUUGAAGAGUUCAAGAAAUAUUUGUCUCAACUUAAAGAUCGAGCAUUAUGCCAACGAGAUUCUUGCUUAUACUAAGAAAGUAUUGAAGCAUUUUUAUGAGGAUUAUCCGUUGGGCACUCUAAGGAUUUUCCGGAAGUAUAUUGGACCGGACAUUGUAUUUUCCAGAUAGAGCUCAACUUCAUCACCAUCAUUUUGGGAUGAUGUGAGGCAUAUUUGAUGUUAUCUCAGCAUAACACCAUAUACGGGCAUAUUUUUUUUGAGUGAACUUACAAAUAGCCCAAGUGUUAUUAAGAUAUGCGGACUCUAGAAAUCUCUAUGGUCGCUUACUGGAAAAAGCUAGUCAUGAAGUUUUCAGGGGGAGAUAUUCAUCAGGGGGAGCGUGGUAUUAAUAAAGACCUUCAUACACUGUACUCUUUUUCCUUCAUCCAGGUUUUUAUCCCACUGGGUUUUUCCUGGUAAGGUUUUAACGAGACAGUGUCGCUCAAGAUUGACUCACAGAAGCAGUGUCAACUACGAUAUUCAGAAAGGUGAUCAACAGUAUGACUUAAAGAUAUUUUGCCAAGCAUCAGGGGGAGCGUGCUGUCAAGAAAGACCUUUACACAUUGUACUCUUUUUCCUUCGUCCAGGUUUUUAUCCCACUGGGUUUUUCCUGGCAAGGUUUUAAUGAGGCAGUGUCGCACGCGUGUCAAUAUACACAGAAUUUUAUGUUACACAUGGUUAUGUACUCUUUUUCCCUUCAACCAUUUUUUUUUAUUUUUUUUGUCCCACUGGGUUUUUACUGGCAAGGUUUUUAACGAGACAUAUUCCGUAUCAUUUGUGGUCUACAAGGGGGAGUGUUGUAAAUUAUAAGGUAGAGCCCACAUGUUGGAAGGCUUUGCCUACAAAAGGGUUCACACCCUUCCUUUAUAAAUACACAGAUGAGAAGAGAAAACAUUCAAUGAAAGUUCAGUUUCUAUACUUUCUCUCUAUCCCAAUUCUCUCUACAAUUUCCUCUAGAUUUAUAACAAUUACUUAUAAUAUUUUUUUAAAAUAUAAUUUACAAAACACCUAAAUGAUUUUUUCACAAUUGAUUAUUCUUGCAGCACAAUAGAAGCUAUUGAUUUUAAAGCAUAGCAACGACCAACUAGCACUAACAGAGCAACAAUUUAAAUAGUCAACUGAGGGAGCUGAAUAUUGAUCUGGUUCAGAAAUCUAGCAAAAGAGAAAAACUAUACUAAAAAAAAAUGGAUUCCUCUGGAGAAGUAGCAAUCAUUCUUUCAAGCUCUGUGUGUCUGUUCCUCUUUUUAGUUCUCAUCAAGAUCUUUCACAAGCUAUGGUGGAAACCAACAAGCAUACAGAGGCUGAUGGCUUUGCAGGGCAUCAAAGGCCCUGCUUACAGACUUGUCCAUGGAAACACCAAAGAAAUCUUCAACAUGCAAAAUGAAGCCAUGGGCAAGCCCAAAGGUUUAUCACAUGACAUAUUUUCCAGAGUUCAACCUCAUUUUCACUCCUGGACCAAGUUAUAUGGUAAAGAAACUCCUCAUUGACUAUGGUUUUUGAGUCUCUGUUCUGAAAUAACUUUUGUCAUCUUUUGCAACAGGGAAGAAUUUUCUUCAAUGGUAUGGUCUUCGACCUCAAUUGAUCAUCACGGAACCUGAGUUGUGCAAGGAGAUACUGAAUGACAAAGAUAGAGCUUAUCCGAAAAGCAAGCCCAAAAGCUUUGUGAAGCAGCUACUGGGAGAUGGACUUGUGACAACAACCAACAUUGAAAAAUGGGGAAAAUUGAGAAAGGUGGCCAACUUUGCUUUCCAUGGAGAGAGCUUAAAAGUAAGUUCUUACAGUUGUUUAUGAAUGGCAGAAAAAUAAGAAAGGCAUAAAUUGAAAGUAAAUUUGUUAAUGGCAUGAUGGUAGAGUAUGACUCCGGCAACGAUAGCUAGUGCUGAGAUUAUGCUUGAAAGGUGGAAAAAUCAAGAUGGCAAAGAGAUUGAGAUGUUUGAAGAAUUUCGGUUGCUCACCUCAGAAGUGAUUUCCAGGACAGCAUUUGGCAGCAGCUACUUAGAAGGGGAGAAGAUUUUUGAGAUGCUGAUGAAGUUAUCCUUCUUAUCUUUCAAAAACAUUUUGAAACUCAGGAUUCCUGGUAUCAGGUGAAUUCUUUUUUCUUUUUCUUUUUUUCAUUUUCCCCAUCUGCUGCACAUCAAAGAACUAUUCCACAAACGAAUUCUUGGAUUAUUAGUUUAGUUCUCAUGUUUAGUCUUUCAUUGAAUAUUACAGUAAGUUUUAUAAAACAUGCGAUGAGAUCGAAUCAGAGAAUCUUGAGAAAGGAAUAUAUAACUCCAUAAUAGAGAUUGUUAAGAAAAGAGGAAAGAAGGCAAUGGCUGGAGAAGAAGAUGGCUUUGGGAGUGAUUUUCUUGGAUUACUUUUGAAGGCUCAUCAUGAUGCCAAUGACAACCAGAGGAUUUCUGUAGAUGAUUUAGUUGAUGAGUGCAAGACAUUUUACUUGGCCGGACAAGAAACUUCUAGUAGUUUGCUUGCUUGGACAGUCUUUCUUUUGGCAAUCCAUACGGAUUGGCAAGAGGAAGCAAGAAAGGAGGUCCUAGAAAUAUUUGGAAAACAAAAUCCGAAUACGGAUGGCAUUGCCAGACUAAAAACAGUAAGAAAGUCCAGUACUCAAUCAAUCGCUUCUUCAAGUGGCAUAAAUGUUCUUCAUUAACUAUGAAAUACUGAUUUCUUUUCAAAUAUUCAUUUUCAUGCAGAUGACUAUGAUCAUCAAUGAGACUCUGAGGUUAUAUCCGCCUAUUGUUGUCCUUGAGAGGGAAGCUGAAAGGGAAGUUAGGCUGGGAAACCUCAUUAUCCCUGCUACUGUUGAACUCGUCAUUCCAUGUUUAGCAUUUCACCAUGAGCCUGGAUUCUGGGGACAAGACGUGCAUCUUUUCAAACCGGAGAGAUUCUCUGAAGGGGUUGCUAAAGCUACUAAGAAUAACAUAGCCACAUUCUUACCAUUUGGUAUGGGACCACGAAAUUGUGUGGGUUUGAACUUUGCAACCAAUGAAGUAAAGAUUGUUCUGUCAAUGAUUUUACAACGCUACUCUUUCACCCUCUCCCCGGCCUAUGUCCACUCUCCCUUUCGGCUUCUUACAGUUCGCCCUCAACAUGGACUUCAAAUAAUGCUACACUCACUGUGAACUGAAAGAACCAGAAUUGCCCAUAAUCUUGGACUUGGUGUAUGGAUUAGCUAAUGCCCUUGGACAUGGUUAGCUUGUUAUUUUAAAAGAUUGUAAUGUCUGCUGUGAAGUUUGUAAAAAUUUAACCUCCUGUUCUGCUGCUUUGCUGCAUGUUUCUGGUAGAAUUUCCAUUGAUGAAAUAAAACGUUUUGGGAAGCCAAAGAGCAUCUCUAACCCCAGGCAGCACAUUAGCAUGAACUGUACUAAUGCAUAUACCCCAAAAUAUGAAAAUAAUAAGGUUCAUGGGAACCUACAUAUAUACAUUAUUCUGAUGGCUGAUGUGUACAAAAAUGAAAAAGUAUAAGGGAGUUUUCUUCAAACUUGGGAAGAGCCAAAGAAAUUGCACAUUGCACAUGCCAAGAAAAUAAGGGUACUUAGAAACGGACUACAGAGGUAAUGAAGAGAGCAGUGAUGGUUAAAUUUGGUGGAUUAACACCAAAGAAAUCUCCAACAUGACAAAGGAAUUGUUAAAGAGGGCGGCACAAAGUUUAGUAUAGUCCAGUUAGUCACAAAUUUUAAUAAUGUUGCAGCGUCAUUGGUUGUUAGCAAAGCAAGCACAUAAUCCACAAUGAAGCCAUAUAAUAUUGCAGGGUCAUCUUGUUAGGGACAAAACUGGCAUCUUCUUUGUGUCAUAAUCUUAUACCACAUGCAUCCCAAUGAAGUAAUAAAUCCAUACGUAUCCCAAUUGGAAAUCAGUAGGUUCAGAGAUACAGCCAAAGAGAAAAAUAGCCAGGAAAAUGAGUUGGUUCAGAGAUCCAGUAAUCACUCUUUCAAGAUUUCUGCUUUUGUUCCUUCUCUUAGUUCUCAUCAAGAUCUUUCACAAACUAUGGUGGACUCCGAUUCGCAUCCAGCAUAUGUUGGCUUUGCAGGGAAUCAAGGGCCCUUCUUACAGACUUAUCCACGGAAGCACCAAAGAAAUCAUGAGCAUGAAAAAGGAAACAAUGGGAAGGCCCAUGAAUUUAUCACAUGAUAUAUUACCUGAAGUUCAACCUCAUAUUCAUUCAUGGACCAAGAUAUAUGGUAAUAAUAAACUCUUACCUAACUUGGCUUUUAAAUCUUAGUUCCGAGAAAUAAUCUGACUUUUUUUUUUCUCCAACAGGGAAGAAUUUUCUGCAGUGGUAUGGUUCUCAAGCUCAAUUAGUUAUUGGGGAACCUGAAUUGUGCAAAGAGAUACUGAAUAACAAACAUAGAGCUUAUUCAAAAAAGGGGGCCUCAAGCCUAUGUAAAGAAACUAUUAGGAGAUGGCCUUGCAUCAAGGGAAGGUGAAAAAUGGGGAAAAUUGCGAAAGCUGGCCAACCAUGCCUUCCAUGGAGAUAGCUUAAAAGUAAGUUGUGCAGACUUACAGUUACUGCCAAGUCUUGCAAAUUUUCAAACUGUAUGAUAUGGCAUUGUUGUUUGUUUUUACUGGAGUAUUGAUUCCAACAAUGACAGCUAGUGUUGAGACGAUGUUAGUAAGGUGGAAAAAACAUGAAGGCAAAGAGAUUGAGGUGUUUGAAGAAUUUAGAUUGUUGACUUCAGAAGUGGUUUCCAGGACAGCAUUUGGCAGCAGCUACUUAGAAGGGAAGAACCUUUUUGAGAUGUUGAUGAAGUUAUACUUCUUGAUAUUCAAAAAUUUGUUCAAAUUCAGGUUUCCUGGCAUCAGGUAACUUCAUUUUGUUGAAUUUCUCUAUGACUUAUCAAUUUUAAUGAUGUUCUGUUCUCAUUUCACAUGUUCAUAUCUUUCAUUCUAUGUUGCAGUAAGCUUAUUAAAACCAAAGGAUGAGGUCGAAUCAAAGAAGCUAGAGAAAGGAAUACGUGAGGGCAUAAUAGAGAUUGUCAAGAAACGAGAAGAGAAGGCGAUAAUGAUUGGAGAAACAGACAGCUUUGGGAGUGAUUUUCUUAAAGGCUCAUCAUGAUUCCAAUGAGAAGCAGAGGAUUUCGGUGGAUGAUUUGGUUGACAAAUGCAAGACAUUUUAUUUUGCUGGCUUGGGCUGUCUUUCUCCUGGCACUCCAUACAGAUUGGCAAGAGGAGGCAAGAAAGGGGAUCCUGCAAAUAUUUGGCAAACAAACUCCAAACUCUGAUGGCCUUGCCAAACUAAAAACAGUAAGAAUGUCACACAGUCAAUUGCUUGUCCAAGUGACAAAAAAAUGUUCAACUAAUAUGUAUAAAAUCCGGAUUUGUUCUCUAUUUUUCCUUUUGAUGCAUGCAAAUUGCAAUGCAGAUUGGUAUGAUCAUCAAUGAGUCUCUAUGGUUGUAUCCUCCUAUUGUUUCCAUUGCAAGGAAAGUUGAAAGGGAAGUUAGACUAGGAAAGCUCAUAGUUCCUGCUAAUGUUGAAAUAUUCAUCCCAAGUCUAGCAAUUCACCAUGAGCCUCAACUCUGGGGAGAAGAUGCGCACCUUUUCAAAUGGGAGCGAUUCUCUGAAGGGAUUGCUAAAGCCACAAAGAACAAAAUAGCUGCAUUCUUACCCUUUGGAAUGGGUCCAAAAGUUACUGGUUAUUCAACUGAUUUUGAGGGCUUAUUGGAGGAUUGUCAGAUCUGGAAACCUACUUCUAAUGGUUAUUCUCUGUCAAGUCCGCUUACAGCUUGCAUUUUUAGGGGGUAGAUUGGCUAAAUCCUUGGUAGAGAGUUCUAUGGAAGCUUCGAAUCCCUCCUAAAUUCCAAAUUUUCUUUUGGUUGGUUUUUCAAGAGAAAAUUCUCUCCAAUGAGCAGCGAAUUCGAAGACAUCUUACUGGAAAUUGUGCCUGCGAUUAUUGUAAGUGGCCUAUUGAAUCUACUUUGCAUAUCUUAAGAGAUUGUUCUAGAGCUAGAAAGGUUUGGGAUCUCUUUAUGAAUUCUACGCAAGCUUCGCCUUUUUUCCAAAUUGAUUUUCAUCCUUGGUUGUUAAACAAUUUGUGCUCAAAGGCUCACUUUGUUCAGAUUCCAUGGAGAAUUAUGUUUGUUUUUAUAUGUUGGUAUAUUUGGAAAUGGAGAAAUGACUUUAUUUUUAAAGAUGAAACUGAUUUGCCUUUUAACCCAGAGAUUUGAUUUGUACUGCUGCAAAGGAUUGGUUUCAGGCCAUUAUUAAUACUAAUAGUGGAGCUAAUAAGGUGCAAGUGUUGUUGGCUUGGGUCCCUCCUGAAAUUGGUUUGGUCAAGUUAAAUAUAGAUGGGUCUUGCAGGGGCAGUACUGGUGCCAUUGGUGCUGGAGGGGUCCUAAGAGAUCAUUUGGGUCAAUGGAUUGGUGGCUUUGCUGUCAAUUUAGGUCAGGGAGAAGUGCUUGAAGCUGAGUUGUGGGGUCUGUUUUUUGGAUUGAAUUUGGCUAUUGAGAAAAAAUUACAUGAUAUUGUUAUUGAGAUGGAUUCUGAUACUACUGUGCUUCUUAUUUAGAGUAAGGUUUUGAAUGAUUGUCAUCCUCAUGCUGGGUUGGUCAGCAGCUGUAAAAGGCUAAUGAAUCUGUUUUGAAGGAUCAAGCUUCAACAUAUCUAUAGAGAGAGGAAUGAUGUAGUUGAUGGGUUAGCUACUUGGAGUCACAAUCAGGACCUGGGCUGUUACUAUUUUGAGGAGAGUCUUGCCUGGCUUGGUUGUUUAUUGCUAAAUGAUUCUCUGGGAGCUGUUAAGGCUCGUCUGAUUAGUAGUAAUUAGUUGUUGUGUUGGUGUUUAGGGGUUUUCCCCCCUUUUCUUCAUUAAAAAAAAAAAGAAAAAAAAAAGCAAAAGGCAGAGAAUGAUGAAACAUUCAAAAUACCAGAAAAUACCCUUGGUUAAUUCAAACAUUAAGAAUUGAAAUUAUUAAUUAAAUGAGGAUAAUAUGGUAAAUUCACAUUUUUUUUAUAUUUAAAAAAUUAAAAUUAAAAACAAAAUCAGAUAAUAGGUCAUACUUUUAUGGAACAUAACUAUCCAUAUUUUAUUUUAUUAAUUCUUAAAUAAAAAAAACAAAAAAAAAACCAAUUCGCAUGUGCCAAGAAGCUAGUAUGUAUUAUGGUAGUAUUUUAUAAUUUAUACAUCGUUUUAUUUUGCAUAAUUUUAGUAUAAAUUAAUAAUUUAUAAGACUAAAUAAAAAAUAAAUAAAAGAAAUAGGCCUUACUUCCUCCUCUAGUGGUAGGCCCUGCCUACUGCCUAGCGAUUUUUCUUUAUAUACAAGUUGUUGUCUUUUUAGAUUGGGUCAAAAUUGACAGUCGUAUCUUAUACUACCCAAUUUAUUAUUACAGUAACAGAGCAAGACAAUUUAAAUAGUCAACUGAGGGAGCUGAAUAUUGAUCUGGUUCAGAAAUCUAGCAAAAGAGAAAAAAUAUACUAAAAAAAAAAUGGAUUCCUCUGGAGAAGUAGCAAUCAUUCUUUCAAGCUCUGUGUGUCUGUUCCUCUUUUUAGCUCUCAUCAAGAUCUUUCACAAGCUAUGGUGGAAACCAACAAGCAUACAGAGGCUGAUGGCUUUGCAGGGCAUCAAGGGCCCUGCUUACAGACUUGUCCAUGGAAACACCAAAGAAAUCUUCAACAUGCAAAAUGAAGCCAUGGGCAAGCCCAGAGGUUUAUCACAUGACAUAUUUUCCAGAGUUCAACCUCAUUUUCACUCCUGGACCAAGUUAUAUGGUAAAGAAACUCCUCAUUGACUAUGGUUUAUGGGUCUUUGUUCUGAAAUAACUUUGGUCGUCUUUUGCAACAGGGAAGAAUUUUCUUCAAUGGUAUGGUCUUCGACCUCAAUUGAUCAUCACGGAACCUGAGUUGUGCAAGGAGAUACUGAAUGACAAAGAUAGAGCUUAUACGAAAAGCAAGCCCAAAAGCUUUGUGAAGCAGCUACUGGGAGAUGGACUCGUGACAACAACCAACAUUGAAAAAUGGGGAAAAUUGAGAAAGGUGGCCAACUAUGCUUUCCAUGGAGAGAGCUUAAAAGUAAGUUCUUACAGUUGUUUAUGAAUGGCAGAAAAAUAAGAAAGGCAUAAAUUGAAAGUAAAUUUGUUAAUGGCAUGAUGGUAGAGUAUGACUCCGGCAACGAUAGCUAGUGCUGAGAUUAUGCUUGAAAGGUGGAAAAAUCAAGAUGGCAAAGAGAUUGAGAUGUUUGAAGAAUUUCGGUUGCUCACCUCAGAAGUGAUUUCCAGGACAGCAUUUGGCAGCAGCUACUUAGAAGGGGAGAAGAUUUUUGAGAUGCUGAUGAAGUUAUCAUUCUUAUCUUUCAAAAACAUUUUGAAACUCAGGAUUCCUGGUAUCAGGUGAAUUCUUUUUUCUUUUUCUUUUUUUCAUUUUCCCCAUCUGCUGCACAUCAAAGAACAAUUCCACAAACGAAUUCUUGGAUUAUUAGUUUAGUUCUCAUGUUUAGUCUUUCAUUGAAUAUUACAGUAAGUUUUAUAAAACAUGCGAUGAGAUCGAAUCAGAGAAUCUUGAGAAAGGAGUAUAUAACUCCAUAAUAGAGAUUGUUAAGAAAAGAGAAAAGAAGGCAAUGGCUGGAGAAGAAGAUGGCUUUGGGAGUGAUUUUCUUGGAUUACUUUUGAAGGCUUAUCAUGAUGCCAAUGACAACCAGAGGAUUUCUGUAGAUGAUUUAGUUGAUGAGUGCAAGACAUUUUACUUUGGCGGACAAGAAACUUCUAAUAGUUUGCUUGCUUGGACUGUCUUUCUUUUGGCAAUCCAUACGGAUUGGCAAGAGGAAGCAAGAAAGGAGGUCCUAGAAAUAUUUGGAAAACAAAAUCCGAAUACGGAUGGCAUUGCUAGACUAAAAACAGUAAGAAAGUCCAGUACUUAUUCAAUCGCUUCUUCAAGUGGCAUAAAUGUUCUUCAUUAACUAUGAAAUACUGAUUUCUUUUCAAAUAUUCAUUUUCAUGCAGAUGACUAUGAUCAUCAAUGAGACUCUGAGGUUAUAUCCGCCUGUUGUUGCCCUUGAGAGGGAAGCUGAAAGGGAAGUUAGGCUGGGAAACCUCAUUAUCCCUGCUGCUGUUGAACUUGUCAUUCCAUGUUUAGCAUUUCACCAUGAGCCUGGAUUCUGGGGACAAGACGUGCAUCUUUUCAAACCGGAGAGAUUCUCUGAAGGGGUUGCUAAAGCUACUAAGAAUAACAUAGCCACAUUCUUACCAUUUGGUAUGGGACCACGAAAUUGUGUGGGUUUGAACUUUGCAACCAAUGAAGUAAAGAUUGUUCUGUCAAUGAUUUUACAACGCUACUCUUUCACCCUCUCCCCGGCCUAUGUCCACUCUCCCUUUCGGCUUCUUACAGUUCGCCCUCAACAUGGACUUCAAAUAAUGCUACACUCACUGUGAACUGAAAGAACCAGAAUUGCCCAUAAUCUUGGACUUGGUGUAUGGAUUAGCUAAUGCCCUUGGACAUGGUUAGCUUGUUAUUUUAAAAGAUUGUAAUGUCUGCUGUGAAGUUUGUAAAAAUUUAACCUCCUGUUCUGCUGCUUUGCUGCAUGUUUCUGGUAGAAUUUCCAUUGAUGAAAUAAAACGUUUUGGGAAGCCAAAGAGCAUCUCUAACCCCAGGCAGCACAUUAGCAUGAACUGUACUAAUGCAUAUACCCCAAAAUAUGAAAAUAAUAAGGUUCAUGGGAACCUACAUAUAUACAUUAUUCUGAUGGCUGAUGUGUACAAAAAUGAAAAAGUAUAAGGGAGUUUUCUUCAAACUUGGGAAGAGCCAAAGAAAUUGCACAUUGCACAUGCCAAGAAAAUAAGGGUACUUAGAAACGGACUACAGAGGUAAUGAAGAGAGCAGUGAUGGUUAAAUUUGGUGGAUUAACACCAAAGAAAUCUCCAACAUGACAAAGGAAUUGUUAAAGAGGGCGGCACAAAGUUUAGUAUAGUCCAGUUAGUCACAAAUUUUAAUAAUGUUGCAGCGUCAUUGGUUGUUAGCAAAGCAAGCACAUAAUCCACAAUGAAGCCAUAUAAUAUUGCAGGGUCAUCUUGUUAGGGACAAAACUGGCAUCUUCUUUGUGUCAUAAUCUUAUACCACAUGCAUCCCAAUGAAGUAAUAAAUCCAUACGUAUCCCAAUUGGAAAUCAGUAGGUUCAGAGAUACAGCCAAAGAGAAAAAUAGCCAGGAAAAUGAGUUGGUUCAGAGAUCCAGUAAUCACUCUUUCAAGAUUUCUGCUUUUGUUCCUUCUCUUAGUUCUCAUCAAGAUCUUUCACAAACUAUGGUGGACUCCGAUUCGCAUCCAGCAUAUGUUGGCUUUGCAGGGAAUCAAGGGCCCUUCUUACAGACUUAUCCACGGAAGCACCAAAGAAAUCAUGAGCAUGAAAAAGGAAACAAUGGGAAGGCCCAUGAAUUUAUCACAUGAUAUAUUACCUGAAGUUCAACCUCAUAUUCAUUCAUGGACCAAGAUAUAUGGUAAUAAUAAACUCUUACCUAACUUGGCUUUUAAAUCUUAGUUCCGAGAAAUAAUCUGACUUUUUUUUUUCUCCAACAGGGAAGAAUUUUCUGCAGUGGUAUGGUUCUCAAGCUCAAUUAGUUAUUGGGGAACCUGAAUUGUGCAAAGAGAUACUGAAUAACAAACAUAGAGCUUAUUCAAAAAAGGGGGCCUCAAGCCUAUGUAAAGAAACUAUUAGGAGAUGGCCUUGCAUCAAGGGAAGGUGAAAAAUGGGGAAAAUUGCGAAAGCUGGCCAACCAUGCCUUCCAUGGAGAUAGCUUAAAAGUAAGUUGUGCAGACUUACAGUUACUGCCAAGUCUUGCAAAUUUUCAAACUGUAUGAUAUGGCAUUGUUGUUUGUUUUUACUGGAGUAUUGAUUCCAACAAUGACAGCUAGUGUUGAGACGAUGUUAGUAAGGUGGAAAAAACAUGAAGGCAAAGAGAUUGAGGUGUUUGAAGAAUUUAGAUUGUUGACUUCAGAAGUGGUUUCCAGGACAGCAUUUGGCAGCAGCUACUUAGAAGGGAAGAACCUUUUUGAGAUGUUGAUGAAGUUAUACUUCUUGAUAUUCAAAAAUUUGUUCAAAUUCAGGUUUCCUGGCAUCAGGUAACUUCAUUUUGUUGAAUUUCUCUAUGACUUAUCAAUUUUAAUGAUGUUCUGUUCUCACUUCACAUGUUCAUAUCGUUCAUUCUAUGUUGCAGUAAGCUUAUUAAAACCAAUGAUGAGGUCGAAUCAAAGAGGCUAGAGAAAGGAAUACGUGAGGGCAUAAUAGAGAUUGUCAAGAAACGAGAAGAGAAGGCGAUAAUGAUUGGAGAAACAGACAGCUUUGGGAGUGAUUUUCUUGGAUUACUUUUAAAGGCUCAUCAUGAUUCCAAUGAGAAGAAGAGGAUUUCGGUGGAUGAUUUGAUUGACGAAUGCAAGACAUUUUAUUUUGCUGGCCAAGAAACCACUAAUACUUUGCUGGCUUGGACUGUCUUUCUCCUGGCACUCCAUACAGAUUGGCAAGAGGAAGCAAGAAAGGAAAUCCUGCAAAUAUUUGGCAAACAAACUCCAAACUCUGAUGGCCUUGCCAAACUAAAAACAGUAAGAAUGUCACACAGUCAAUUGUUUGUCCAAGUGACAAAAAAAAGUUCAACUAAUAUGUAUAAAAUCCUGAUUUGUUCUCUAUUUUUCCUUUUGAUGCAUGCAAAUUGCAAUGCAGAUGAGUAUGAUCAUCAAUGAGUCUCUAAGGUUGUAUCCUCCUAUUGUUUCCAUUGCAAGGAAAGUUGAAAGGGAAGUUAGACUAGGAAAGCUCAUAGUUCCUGCUAAUGUUGAAAUAUUCAUCCCAAGUCUAGCAAUUCACCAUGAGCCUCAACUCUGGGGAGAAGACGUGCACCUUUUCAAACCGGAGCGAUUCUCCGAAGGGAUUGCUAAAGCCACAGAGAAGAGAAUAGCUGCAUUCUUACCCUUUGGAAUGGGACCUCGAAAUUGCGUUGGGUUGGACUAUGCAACCACUGAAGCAAAGAUUGUUUUGUCAAUGAUUCUACAACGCUACUCCUUCACCCUUUCCCCUGCUUAUGUCCACUCUCCUUUGCAGUACAUUACAGUUCGCCCACAACACGGAGCUCAAGUAAUUCUACACUCACUGUGACUUGUGUGUGACCGAUAUAAACCGACCAUGAAACAAAAUGGGCAAGAGUUUUGUAGCUUAAGUGGUUAAGAGUAUUUGUUCAUGCAUCCGAGGUCCUAUAUUUGAUUCUCCCUUCCUCAAUAUCACUUAUAUAAAAAAUAAAAAAAAGUAUAACACAAUGGUAGGUCUUAAUUAAUACAAUGAAAGAGAGUUUAAUAGCAUCUUUGAUAGCGACUAUAUUUGAUUUCUAUUUAACGUUGCUAUCAAUCACACAUCUACAUUUCUUGUGUGGUCACGCUUUCCACCUAAAGUGUGCAAUAAUUACGCAAGUUUCAACAACCAAGUGUUUAAUAAACCUUAGUCAACACAGAAGGUAGCUAUCAGAGCUGCUGUCCUGUCCCACUAUUUAUUAUGAUUCUCCUAACAUGGAUACAUUCGUACUCGUACGUGAGCUGAGAUUCCAAUAUAUCUAUAUAUAUAUAUAUAUAUACGUCAUGUUUUUAAUGCGCCGACAAUGCUAGCUUUAGGUUUUUCAACAAGUCACCGUGAUCAAUGACGCCAUAUGAUAUGUAUAAACAUAUAUACAAUAUUCCCUGCCUUUCAUUGUCUAUUAGAAGCUAAGAGACGCAUUUUUGAGGUCAACGAUGGCAACGUGUUUCCAAAGUAAUAUUUAUUAUCAACAUAGAGCAAGAGACUUGUUAAGAGCUAGAAGCUUGUUAAAGAACACAAGAAGAAGAAAACUAAGAAACAGAGGAGAGCUACAGCCAAGGAGGAGAUCAAGAGAGAACAAUUAGAAAAAAUGAGUUGGUGCAGAGAGCCGGUGAUCCUUCUCUCAAGCUUUCUGUGUCUGUCGCUGUUGCUAGCUCUCGUCAAGAUGUUUGAAAAGCUAUGGUGGAAGCCGGUUCGCAUACAGAAGUUGAUGGCUCUGCAGGGGAUCAAAGGCCCUUCUUACAGACUUAUCCAUGGAAACACCAAAGAAAUCUCCAAUAUGAAAAAGGAAGCUAUGAGCAGGCCCAAGAGCUUAUCACAUGAUAUCUUUCCUCAAGUUCAACCUCAUAUUCAGUUAUGGACCAAGUUAUAUGGUAAAGAAAGAAACUCUUCUUCCUUCACCUAUGGUUUAUUUUUUCUGUUUUCUUUUUGAAUCUUAAUUAGCUGCAAAAUAAACUUUGGUAAUCUUUGGAAACAGGGAAGAAUUAUCUUCAAUGGCAUGGCUCUAAAGCUCAGCUGGUCAUUACGGAACCUGAAAUAUGCAAAGAGAUACUGAAUAACAAAGACGGGGCUCUUCAAAAAACAGAGACUCUAGGAUAUGUGAAGAAGUUAUUAGGAGAUGGCCUCACGAGAUCCUCAGGUGAAAAAUGGUCCAAGUUGCGAAAGCUGGCCAACCAUGCCUUCCAUGGAGAGAGCUUAAAAGUAACUUCCUAAAGUUAUUGUUGGUGAUUCUUUCUUCCAACAGCAUUUUUCUAAAAGUGAAACAGAAUAAGUAAAAUUUUCCGACUGUGUUGAUCAGAGUAUGAUUCCAGCGAUGAUAGCUAGCGGCGAGACGAUGCUUGAAAGGUUGAAGAACCAUGAAGGCAAAGAGAUUGAAGUGUAUGACGAAUUCAGGUUCUUCACUUCAGAAGUGAUUUCCAGAACAGCAUUUGGCAGCAGCUACUUGGAAGGGAAGAACAUCUUUGAGAUGUUGAUGAAGUUAUCCUUCUUGACAUUCAAAAAUGCUCUCAAACUUAGGUUUCCUGGUAUCAGGUAACUCAGGCUUGUUAUGCAUCAAACUCAGUUUUCUUCUAAGCUUGCAGAGAAUAUUGAUCACAUCAAUGUUCUUUCAUUCAAUGUUGCAGUAAGAUCUUUAAAACCAGAGAUGAAAUCGAAUCAGCAGAGCUUGAGACAGGAAUACGCGAUAGCGUAAUGGAGGUCAUUAAGAAAAGAGAAAAGAAGGCAAUGGCUGGAGAGGAAGACGGUUUUGGAAGUGAUUUUCUUGGAUUGCUUUUAAAGGCUCACCAUGACACCAAUGAGAAGCAGAGGAUUUCAGUGGACGAUUUGGUCGACGAGUGCAAGACUUUUUACUUUGCUGGACAAGAAACCACUAAUUCUCUGCUUGCUUGGACUGUAUUUCUUCUGGCCCUCCAUAGAGAUUGGCAAGAGGAAGCAAGAAAGGAGGUCCUGCAACUAUUUGGCAAACAAACUCCACACCCUGAGGGCAUUUCCAAGCUCAAAACAGUAAGAAAAUAUAUUAGUGAAUUAAUUGUUUGCUUUUAAGCUUGAAAUGCUGAUUUGUUGUCUAAUUUUGACUUGGAUGCAUGCAAUGCAGAUGAGUAUGAUUAUCAAUGAGUCUCUGAGAUUAUACUCUCCUGUUAUUUCCUUCGAAAGGAAAGCCGCGAGGGAAGUUAGACUGAGAAAUCUCAUAGUCCCUGCUAAUGUUGAACUGCAAAUCCCAAACCUAGCAUUUCAUCAUGAUGCUAAAUUUUGGGGAGCAGACGUGCACCUUUUCAAACCAGAGCGAUUCUCAGAAGGGGUUGCUAAAGCUACCAAGGAUAACAUGGUCGCAUUCUUGCCCUUUGGAAUGGGACCUCGAACUUGUGUGGGCUUCAAUUUUGCAACCAUUGAAGUAAAGAUUGCUCUGUCAAUGAUUCUACAACACUACUCCUUCACCCUUUCCCCAGCCUACGUUCACUCCCCGUUUCAUUUUCUUACAGUUAGGCCACAACAUGGUGUUCGAGUAACGCUACAUCCGCUGUGAGCUGUGUAAACCAUGUGGAGGUGUAAUGGUCAAAACCUGAAUAGAAUUUCGUAUAAUUUUGCACUUGGUUUACCAAGGCAUUAUUAAUGUCUUUGUUGAUAUAUAUCAGGGAGUUUAUUUUGUUUUGAGUACAGAAACAGAAGUGAACAUUUAUCAAUUUAUUGGCAGUAAGUACCAGAAAUCCACGGGAAAUGGUUUUUCACAACAGAGCAGACUAUAGUGGAAGUUUAAUCAUAGCCCAAAAACAUGCAUUACGGAAGGCCCAAAUCUGAUACACGAAAAGGCCCAUUUUCAAAACUUGGGCCUCCUUUGGUUGGCAAUUAGGAACCCCUUUUCAAAAAUUGGGAUUGAAUCUGAACAUUUGAAUUGGAAACUUGGAAACUUGGAAACUUGGAAACUUGAAAACUUGUUUGGUAUUAAAAAUUGGAAACCUGUAUUCUCAGGCAUUUGCUCGAACAUGUUGUCUGCAUAAAACAACAAAUCCAUCCACUAAUUUCAAAAGCUUCCAAAAUCAGAUUGAAAAGUGGAAGAAUUAAAAGGAAAUUCUGGAAGAGCAAAGACGAAGCCAAAGUGAAUCUUUUUGAGGAAAAAUUGAUUAUGAAUCCGAUGCCAAACGCACCAUUAGAUUUCAACAAUUAUGAUUUAAUAUCCUUAAAUAUAAAACACUAACGUGACAAAUAAAAAAAUGUCAAGAAAAAAUAAUGAAUGUGGGCGAGCAUUAUUGUACUUAUCUACCACCAAUCAUCAACAAUUAAGAAUUAAUAUCCUUAAGCAUCAAGAAAAAUAAUAACGUGCCAAAUAAAAUAACAAAAGUUUAAGUCUUUGCCCCCUUAUUUCGUUAAACAAAACAUAAAAAGAAGGUUAAGUCUGAGAAUAAGUAUAUAGACUUUGUUUUAAAAAAUAAGCAAAAUAAUAAUGAAUGUUCACAUGGACAAAAAAAUAAUAAAAAAUAAAAAAUCAAAGCAUGUUUAGUCAAGCAAAUGUGUCGCCUAGGUUUCCGUAUUUGCCUUUUCAAGUUGAAAGAUUCUCUGUCAUGAUUUUUAAAAUCGAGUACAAUUAAUUAGAUAUAUCUCAUGUGUUAAAAUAAUUAGGAUGAAGAAAUUUUGAAUAUGAAAGACCAACUUGGUGUUGAAAUAAGCAAGGAGCUUGAGGCCUCGUUUGAUAUCCCUGUUAAAAGAAAGUUUAUUUUUCUUGUUAAGAGGACUACACUAGACUAGCAAAAUACCUCGAUUCAUGUGCAAUCAAGAUUAGAAUCUGACAAUGCCAGUUAUUGAAGUAUUAUGCUUUGCUUGAAUUGUUUGGCCUUGCAAUGCCUCUUGGCAUUGAUAUUUUUUUUUCUGGGCAACUUAGUUUUAGUAGAGCUUCGAAACAAUUAAUGGGCUAUAACCAAUUAUGUCCCUGAUGGGGCAUGAAAUUAAAACAUUUUGAAUUUAUUCUUUCAAAUGAUCCAGAGGAAUUAAUUCAAGUACAACAUUUAUUGAAAUGAAUGAAAUAUUCUGGUCUUCACAGUUCACAGUGAGUGUAGAAUGACUGGAACUCCACGCUGUGGGCGAACUGUCAUAAACUGAAUGGGAGAGUGGACAUAACCAGGGGAAAGGGUGAAGCUGUAGCGCUGUAGAAUCAUUGCCAGGGCAAUCUUUGCUUCCACGAUUGCGAAGUUCAUGCCCACGCAAGUUCGAGGGCCCAAUCCAAAAGGUAUGAAUGCCACUAUGUUGUUGUUAGUAGCUUUAGCAACCCCUUCUGAGAAUCUCUCUGGUUUGAAAACGUUCACGUCUUCUCCCCAAUAUGUGGGAUCAUGAUGAAGUGAUAGAUUUGGGACGUGCACUUCAACAUUAGCCGGAACAACCAUCUUUCCCAGCCUUACUUCCUUGUCUGUUUCCCUAACAAGGGAAACAACUGGAGGAUAUAGCCUUAGAGAUUCAUUCAGGAUCAUACUCAUCUGCAUAAUGAAAGGAGGAUUUCAAAACUUAACCACUGAUUUAGAUACAUAAGUUAGCAAUUAACUGAUUGAGUUUCUUACCGUUUUUAGUUUGUUGAGGCCAUCAGGGUUUGGAUUUUCUUUUCCAAAUAAUUGUAAGACCUCCUUUCUUGCUUCCUCUUGCCAAUCCGUAUCGAGUGCAAGAAGAAAGAUGGUCCAAGCAAGCAAAGAAUUAGUGGUUUCUUGUCCAGCAAAGUAAAACGUUUUGCAUUCAUCAACGAUGUCAUCCACCGAAAUCCUCUGGUUUUCAUUGGUAUCAUGAUGAGCCUUCAAAAGUACUCCAAGAAAAUCAUGCCCAAACCCGUCAGCGUCUCCAGUCUUUGCCAUACUUUCUCUUUUCCUAACAAUCCCUGCUAUGAUGUCGCGUAUUCCUUUCUCAAGCUUCUCCGACUUGAUCUCAUCACUGGUUUUGUAAAACCGACUGCAAAUUUUGAACAAAAGACUAAACAUGAGAAGUGACAACUCCAACAUUACUAAUGUUGUGAAUGGAAAAUAUUCCACAGCUAUAACAUAACCUCAUUGAUUCUUUAGGAUCAUUAAGUUAAAAGAAGCUACCUGAUGAUAGGAAGUCUGAGACUGAAAUUAUUUUUGAAUAUAAGGAAGGUCAACUGCCCCAGCAUUUCAAAAAUGUUCUUCCCGUCUAAGUAGCUGGUGCCAAAUGCUGUCCUGGAAAUAACUUCUGAGGUGAACAACCUAAAUUCUUCGUACACCUCGAUCUCCUUGCCUUCAUGAUUUACCCACCUUUCUAGCAUUGUCUCAGAGCUAGUUAUCAUUUCUGGAAUCAUACUCUGGUAACACAAGAUCAUCAUGCAGUCAAUUAGCAAAUUUUACAUUCAAUAUAAUAAUAUGUCUAUAUAUAUAAACAAACUGUACAGAAGAACUUACUUUUAAGCUCUCUCCAUGGAAGGCAUGGUUGGCCAGCUUUCUUAACUUGACCCAUUUUUCACCUUCUGCCAUGGAAAUGCUGUCUCCUAAUAACUUCUUCACGUAGCCUUGGGACUUCUGUUUUCGGAAGAGUUUAUCUUUGUUGUUCAUGACCUCUUUGGACAACUCAGGUUCCGCAAUCACCAACUGAGGUUGAGUACCAUGCCAUUGAAGAAAAUUGGUCCCUGUUGCAACAAAAUCACUAAAUUUAAUUAUCUUUGAACAAAUUGAGAUUAUAAAAAAAAAAAAAAAACCAUAGUUAAUGAAGAGUUUGUAAGACGUACCAAAUAUCUUGGACCAUUUGUGAGUAUGAGGCUGGACUGCAGGGAAUAUGUCAUGUGAUAAACUUCUGGGCCUGCUCAUGGCUUCCUUUUUCAAGCUCAUGAUUUCUUUGGUGUUUCCAUGGAUAAGUCUGUAAAAAGGGCCUUUGACUCCCUGGAGAUCCAUGAAUUUCUGGAAGCGAUUUGGGGUCCACCAUUGCUUGUAAAAGAGCCUGAUGAGAGCUACAAGGAACACAAAUAGCAUGCUUGAAACAAUGAUUACUGGCAUUCCGAUUCCGAACCAACCCAUUUUUACUAGCUUCUUUCUUCUUCUUCGUUUGGGUAAAUCGGAUGUGCCAAAACCCAAGAGACAAUUCUAGCUUGUUUUUCUAGCUUGCAUGUCAGUUUGCUGUGUACUGCAUGUGACUCUCUUCAGUUUAUAUAGUAAAUGCUUGGGCGUAUUUCGUUGAAAUAAAAUAAAAUAAAAUCAGAUGGCAAUCUUUGAAUACUUGGGAGUGUUUCGUUGACAUGACGAGUGACCAUGUGGUUAUUGAAUUAUCAUGUAGCAGAGAAACCCACUGGCACUGCCUAAUAGUAUGAUCUAUACGUCAUUUGUUCACAUAAAAUAUUUGUCACGUCAGUUGAUAACCAAACUCUAGCCCAGUGGAAGGGCCUUGACUUGCUAAUGGGUGGUCUCAUGUUUGUACCUCAUGGGCAUUGUGAUAGUGUGUGUGAGAAAACCCUAUUGAUUCUCUGUAUUUUUUUAAUAGAAAUUCUGGUAUUGUAUUCAUAAUUAAGUCAAAAAAGUAACUAACAACAAAAUGACAAUUCAAACUAGUCACGAAGAGCCCCUCCCUUGUAAUUUAGAUAUCGCUUGCACUAAAAGAAAAUAAAAAAUGGAAGAGCUAGCGCUUAAAACUAAGCUUAUCACGAGCAGCAUGCCAGCGUCGCUACUUGAUAGGCGUAUAAUACGUUGACGUGUCUAGUAUUAUUGAAUUAGAAUCUAAUGUCUAUUUUUAAAUGGAAAAUGCUAGGGAGACCAACUUUAGAUACCAACUUGUGUACCAACUCUCUAAUAGAGUGUGAGACCCAUUGUAUUGGUGGGCUCCACCUCUAUUAGAGAGUUGGUACACAAGUUGGUAUCUAAAGUUGGUCUCCCUAGCAUCACCCAUUUUAAAUAUAUAAAAAACUGAUUAAGAUAUGAAUUGGUGGCGAAUUAUUCGCACCGCGAUUGAUAAUGAAUACCCAUAAAAUAAUUAAAAAUUCAAAUGGCUACCACGUACCAUUAACAUGGGAAUUAUGUUUAUUAUCAAAUCAUAAGUUAGCACGUUUAAAUUGUAGACUGCUGAAUGUUACAAGAAUUUAGGUGAGGGAGAAAAACAAUAAGAUCAUGAGCAAAAGAAGGAGAAACAGACACAGAAAGAUUCGAAUCAGUCACUACCGGCAUUCUGAGCCAACUCAUUUUUACUUGGCUGUUUAUGUGUUUCCAGAGUCUCCUAACUUUGACUAUUUAGACCCAUCAAUUUAUAAUGUUAACCAACAAUAUAUAGUCCUCUAUAGUGGAAUAUGCACGUUACAAUUGGAUUUUAUUUUUAUUUUUUUCGUUAGUACAAGCGAUACUAUAAACUAUAGGAAGAGAGAUUUCUCACACACACAACUAGAAAUUAAUUAAUUAAACCUGAUUACUCUGACAAAAAAAAAAAACAAACAUGAUUAAAUGAUUACCUCGUGGAAAUUAACUAUUAACUCUUACUUUGACUGUCAUUUAAAUAUGGGAGACUUUGGAAAAGCCCAAAGGAGAGAGAAAAUUUUUAAAAGAAGCCAAAAUAGACAAAAUUGCCCUUUUUUUUUUUUUGAUUUCCUAAGGAAUCCUUUACAUUUGCAUGUCUUUGGUUUGAAAGUUGAGAGGUUUUUCUGUCUUUUUUGAAAAAGCUUUGGCUUUUUCCAAAAGUGAAAGUUUUUUUAUGGGUAAAACCUAAAUUUACUUUUAAAUAUCUAUUAGGAACAGUCCCGAUCUCUUGGAUCACAGGAGUUCAAGAGAUUGUGGUCACCCACCGUUGGAUAUUAAUCUAAUGGUAUAAAAAAGUUUAUUAAAAUGUUUAUGGGUAAAACCUAAAUUUACUUUUAAAUAUCUAUUAGGAACAGUCCCGAUCUCUUGGAUCACAGGAGUUCAAGAGAUUGUGGUCACCCACCGUUGGAUAUUAAUCUAAUGGUAUAAAAAAGUUUAUUAAAAUGAGUGCAAGAGUGAGUGAACCGUUGAAUUUACAUCCAACGGUGAGUGAUCACAAAUUUCUUGGACCCCUGUGGUCCAAGAGAUUGUGGUCACCCACCGUUGGAUAUUAAUCUAAUGGUAUAAAAAAGUUUAUUAAAAUGAGUGCAAGAGUGAGUGAACCGUUGAAUUUACAUCCAACGGUGAGUGACCACAAAUUUCUUGGACCCUUGUGGUCUAAGAGAUCGGGACUACUCCCGAUCUCUUGGACCACAGGAGUCCAAGAGAUUGUGGUCACCCACCGUUGGAUAUUAAUCUAAUGGUAUAAAAAAGUUUAUUAAAAUGAGUGCAAGAGUGAGUGAACCGUUGAAUUUACAUCCAACGGUGAGUGACCACAAAUUUCUUGGACCCCUGUUAGGAAAUACAUAACAUACUAGGAAGUUGUCUUCGAGUUUGGCAAAAUCUAAAGAGUCCUGCUAUUCCCACCCCCUUAUCUUAUUUUCCCACCCACCUUAUCUUCAAAAUUUUAAAAGCAAAUUUACCCUAUUGUAAAAUGACUUUUAAGGACUUAACUCUAAGUUAACAUUAUUAAGUCAAGAAAAUAAAAGUCAAAAUAAAAACAGAAAAUUAGAAUAAAUAAAUAAAAACAGAAAAUUAGAAUAAAUAAAUAAAAGAGCCCAGAAAACAACCCUCAGACUACCCACCCAACCCCGUGACAACCAAGAUUGAUUGAUGUUAAGAAAUAGUUAAAUUGGAAACUUGGAGGAAUAAAGGGCCAUGAAGUUGCUGAUAUUGAUGAAGACUAGGGUGAGCGACUUUGGCAGGCAAUGCAGUCGAAGUGUCGUCUUAGAUCUGGGCCAAUUGAUGUAAUAUUUCUCGUGGUUUGAUUGAAAUGGAGAGAGGAGAAGAAUGUUAGAUUGGGGUUUGAAGGUGUUGUUCAAUACAACUGAAAUAAUGGUGAAAGAGACAUGAGGAGGAGGACGGAGGAAGGGAGGCUUGGCCCGAGGUGGAAGGUAUGGGUGGUUCUUGUUAAGGUUUGAUGGAGUGUGCGGUGGGUGGCUGCUGAAAACCUUUUAUUUUUUAUUUAAAUUUUUCGGACUCAAUCAAUAGUGUUAAGUUAGGGUUAAAAGUGUUAAGUGAAUAGAAGAGUAUUUUAGGAAUAAUGGUGGGUGCAAAGAUAGGAUUGUGAUUUUUCAAAUUUUCAUGGGGGGUGGGUGGGGAAAUAGGACAGGUGGGUGGAAAUAGCAACACUCAACAAGUGUGUGGAAAUAGCAGCACUCAAUCUAAAAUAAUUUCGCACAUGCCAACGAAAUUAAAUUAAAAAAAAAUUAUUUCUACUACCAGUCCUUGAGGUUUUCGGUGUUUUCAUAAAAUCCAUGAAGUUUAAAAAAUUACACGAACACCCUUUGAGGUUUUAAAUUAUUUUCACAAAAUUCCUUUCCAUUGAUUUUUCAUCCAAAAUUGAUGAUUUUAUAUAUAAAAAAAUUCUCCAAAUGAAAAAGUUAGUCUUUGAGAUUAGAUUGCAAAUACAUUCAUUCAAGUUAAUUUUGUCACUUGUAUAAGUUUUCUUUUAUAAAAUCAUAUUUUUUGGAUGAACAAUCAAUGAAAAAGGAUUUUGUGAAAAUAAUUAAUUUGAAACCCCGGGGGUAUUCAUAUUAUUUUUUAAACCUCAUGGAGUUUUGUGAAAACACCGAAAAUUUCAGGGAGUGUUAAUGUAAAUAACUAAAAAUAUAUAUAUAUUUCAAAACAAACUAUAGAGUAAAGUGUAGUCGUAGAGGAGUGAAGUUUGGUUUGAAGAACCUCCUGAUUUCAUUCAGCUAAACAUGAACCACUACUAGAAAAUCAGCCACUACCCACUGAUCUAGAUACAAAUUCAUAAAAGUAGCUUUUAAAUUUUUUUUGGAAACUAAUAAUCCCACGCCUAUUAAAGAUUUUUGAGAUAGACAUUAGUGUGUAAUACAAACUAGUUCCGCACUUGCGAGAGGUUUUUUUUUUUUUUUUUUAAAAUUAAAAUUUAUUUUAGAAUUAAAAAAAUAAGGGAGCUUUAGUUUUAAAACACAACAUAGUUUACUAAUUUGGAAGAUAGUAAUACAAUUUCAUCUAAUUCGCAUAAGGCAAAAGACCAAAUUGUGGUACCUAAUUUUACAAAAAUAUCAUUAAAACAUAUCAAAAUUACACAUAAUGCCACUCCUUCUAAGGCAAGCAUACUAUGCCACAUGUCCAUAUCUAGCCAAUCAUAUCUCGCCGCCGACCACCACUGCCGGAAUCCUGCCGCCGGCCACCACCGCCGGCCACCACCACCGGACUUCCGCCGCCGGACUCCCGCUGCCGGCCACUUGCCACCACCACCGUUGGCCGCCAUCGCCUGCCACCGUCUGUAGAUGACCAACUCUGUUGCCCUUUAUUCACCUUUUAAAAAAAAGAUUGUGUCAUUGAAUAGACUCGAACCUUGACCCUCAAAGGAGGAAGGCUCACUCACAAACCACUACACCAAACUUGAUUUUGUAAUAUUUAUUCAAUUAUACAAUAUUUAUAUAAACAAUCAAUGGUUUAUUAAAAAAAAUAAUAAUAAAAAGCAUUUCAACACUUAUUCACACAAAAACUGCAAAUAAAAACAGAAACUGCAACAAAAAUGUUAUGUUAAAAAAACAAAAACAAAAACGAAAACAGCUACAAAAACAAUUGUAAUUAAAUGAAAACUGCAAUGCAGUUUCCGGUUUUCAAAAGUCCAAUUUUGAGUUCUCUUGCUCUUAGGUAUUUCUACUCUUCUCUUGCCCACCUAAUUCCUCAUCUAGGUAGCUUCUACUCUUUAAAUUGGUGAGGUUGAAGACCAAGGAAAGAGCAAAAAUCCAAUUGUAAUUAAAUGAAAACUGUAAUGCAGUUUCCGAAACUACAAUGCAGUUUCCAAAAGUCCAAUUUUGAGUUCUCUUGCCCACCCAAUUCCUCAUCUGGGUAGCCUCUACUCUUCAAAUUGGUGAGAUUGAAGGCCAAGAAAAGAGCAAAAAUCCAAUUGUAAUUACAAAAACUGCAAUGCAGUUUCCAAAACUGCAAUGCAGUUUCCAAAACUGUAAUGUAGUUUCUGAAACUGCAAUGUAGUUUGUGCAAAACUAUAAUGCAGAACUUGUAUAAAAUUUUACUGAACUAAAGCUUAAAUGGUAUUGCAAAAUAUCAUAUGACAGUGAUGUCAUAAACAACAAGCAUCUCUAUCCUAAGAACCGCAAUAUGAUCUCAAGUUUCCAGGUCGAAAUGGAAAAUAUAGCUAGAAACAAAACAAAAUUGAAAUAUGCAUUGCUGCAAACUAAAUAAUUUAGAUAGCAAACUCCACAAGUACAAAGAGAAGGGAAUCAAAUCAACACUAGCUUAACAACUCAAUAACCAACAACCUAUGGAUUACGGGGCAAAACCUCCAAUGUAUCUCUACCAAGCAUAAAAAAAUCACAAAUAAAAGAUAUCAUGAAAAUGUAAAGUAAUUACUAGUCAAAACCCAGGCAUCAAAAUUCUGUAAACCAGUAAAGAAUCACUGGUGAAACCCACAAAUAAAUGAAGGUGUCAAAUAGCAGUAAACAUCUAGCAUGUAAUCAAAUAGAAGAUUUCAGAAUCAAAUGAGACAACACAGUCAAAGGGAUUACCAGGUAUGGAAAAAUUGAACACAGGAGGUAAAACUGCAGACUUCCAGGUAUAAGCAAAGUUGUUUGUGUUACCAGCCUACAGCAAUUUCAAAGUAAAAAAGAAAAAACAAAAACAAAAAAAUAAAAAACAAAAAAACAAAAAACAAAAACAAAACUUUCAAUAAGAACUUGAAAGUAAUAUUCAGACGUAUUUAUAGACAUGAAGGAGGGCAAUACAUGUGUGGUAAGUGAUAAUGCCACCAGGUUUUCAGAUGAAGAAAAGCUACCACUCUAAUACAUUCAUAAACGAACUCAAACACAACAAAGUAGCCACAGUUCAAAUCUCAAAACAACACCACCGAAAUUAAACAAAAAAAAUCUCAAGAAAAGCCCAUUUCCAAGUAAUUCAAUCACAUAAUAUAAAAACCAGAACACACCAGAUUCAAAAACAUCACAAUAAUUAGCAUAGGUUUUGAAUUACCGCAGGAGACGGAGAUCUAUUAGGCCGAGUCACCGAAAUAGCAGGAGGAGCCUUUGAGCUUUGCGAAUUCACCGGCAUCGAUCCUCCAAUUGCUUCUCCAUGGAUGGGAAAACGCCUUCUCCGCCAGCAAUCGUGACGCCAGGCCAGGACGAGCCGUCAUCAAUUGCUUCUCCGCUAGAAAAUAGAAACGCUUUCUCUGUCAUUGAUUGCUUCUCCGCCGGAAAACGAUGGAAGACGCCUUCUCCGCCGUCGAUCCUCUUCUUGCUUCUCUGCAGGAAAAGGCCUCCAAAGCUGGGCGUGAUAUGGCUCCCAUAUAAAAUAAAAGGGGUAAAAAUGUUAUUUCAAAUACAAAUUAAACAAGCUUAAAGAGCACAUGGGUAGGGCUAUUGGCUUUUAAAAAAAUAAAAUUUAAAACUCAUCCACUAUAUCUAAAACAAAAAUAGAUAAUGUAUC